AAAAUCACCAUCCCCAUCUUCCCUCUACCUUCUUCUUCUCCUUCUUCCUCCUCCUCCUCCUCCUCCUCCUCUCUUCCUUCGUUUCCUCUCAUGAGGAAGAAAGAGGCCAGAGAAUCACAGAGAUACAAAGCAAGAGCAAAGCAUUUCUAAUCAACUUUGGUUGUUUGCUCUCUUUUUAAUUUAAAUAAUUUCAUUUCUUCAUCUCUUUGUUCUCUCUUGUAUCUUUCUUAAGUUAAAUCAAAAGUAGAAGCUAUGGGUACUGAGAUUUUGAGGCCUCAGGAUUGUUUAAUUGAACGGAUCAGAGUUUCUCCUUGUCGCCGGAGGAAUUUUUAUGGCAACUCUUAUGCUAACCCCAAGUACUAUGACUCUAACCCUAGAUUCAACAGAAAACCAGCCGUGCGCUCUGAGAGGACCGACCAGAGAAAGCGCCAGUCCGAGCCUACCUCGAUCUCGAAGAGGUCGAACUCGGUUGAUGAUUUGAAGAUCGCGAAAAAUCACUACCAUGGCCAGAAGGCUAACAAUAACAGCCUUCUCAUGGAGAAGGUGACCAUUUUGCGACGAGGGGAGUCGCUUGAUUCUAAGAUCCGUAGCAGUGAAACAGCGGCAGUUUCGAAGAAGGAUCUGGGCGGUGAUAUGGUGGUCACUGGUACGGAUCGAUUGGGUCCUGAACCAGAAAUGGUACCGAAGCAGAUCCGAAUAGUUGACCUGAGUUCUCCGGUAACCGGGAAGUGCGAUGUGUAUGCCGGAUCAGCUUUUGCAGUAUCGCCGGCACCUAGCUCGCUCCCGUUGCCGUCUUUCUCGAAGAAAAAGCAAGUCCGUUUUGAUGACUCAGCUACCAGAGACCUCAGGCGUUUACUUCGACUUGACGUUUAAGGAUCCGUCUAUAAAAUGGGUGGUCAUACUUCUGGAUGAAUAAGUUAUUAGUCUUUCUACCUCUUGCCAAUUUCGUCUCUGUUACAUCCGUCUGGUUUUUGACGAUGGGAUCCUCCCGUGAGAUUUUUUGUAAAACGGUAGGUAGAUCUGAAAAUCAGGGAAAGUAUAGGGACGAAUUAGUAAAAAGGAGGGUAUAUCAUGUAUAUGGGGGUAUUGUGUAUUGGGGCUUAUGGAUAGUGUAUCUGGGAGUGGGGCGGAAUUAGGAAAAUGGUUGGGGCUGAGUAGUGUAAAAUAUGAAUGAUGGAGGAGGACGUUUGUGAAUCUGUUAGGAAGUUUACUGCUUAUGUACAAUAAUAAUAUGAAGUAAGAUGAAAAAUUAGGGAGAAUUAGGGGAGAUUUUAUAAUAUAUAUAUCUCUUAUAGUUUUCCCAUUUAAAUGAACUCUUCUUGCUUUCAUCUUUAAUAUAUAUAUAUAAAAUAAAAUAAAUAAAAAUUAUGGGAUGAAAAGUAUUUGAUUUUUAAUUUUAUAAUUAAAGAUAUAAUAUUAAAUUAAAAGUAAAGAUUAAAAUAUAUAAUUUAAAACUUUGCUUUUAUUUAUUAUUAAAUUUUAUGAUUUGUUGAAUUCUUUACUAUUAGACUGAAAAAAUUUUAAUUAGAAAAUUGAAAAAUGGAAAUGUCAAUAGGUAAAUGAAAAUGUAAAGUUUAUUAAAUUUUUUCAAACAAUUGAGCGAUCUUAUUUUUGAGUAAAAUAAUUCAUUGUUUUGUUUUUUUGGGUCAUUGUAUUAUCUAUAUAUUAGACUUAUUCAAUAAUUUCGUAUAAUUGUAAUUUAUUUUUAAUUGCCAAAAAAACUAUUACGAUUAAAAUUUUGAAAUAAUAAAAAUUAAUUUUCUUUGCUUUAUUAAAUAAUGUGAAUAAAUUAUCAUCGUUGUAUUUUUUUAAGUCAACAUAUUUAUAGAUCUGGAUACUUUCUAAAGCAUUAAACUACACGUUUACUGGACUUUGAUUAUUUCAUGAUUUAGUGGUUGAAGGUCAGUAAAAUAAAUAUAAUAAUUGAAUUUUGUUGAAAGAAUCAGAAGAAAAAAAAAGGAUUCAGCAUAAAACGCAUGAUUAGUUAGUUAAUCCAAAUUUCGAUUAUUCUACUCAACCAAUAUUUAACUUUAUGAUAAAAUCUAAAUAUAAUCCUUUCACUCUAAUAAUUUAUUAUGAUGACUUCAUUAGUUCCAUGCUUCUUGCUUCUGGCUCAUCCUUUAUGUUAUUAUUUAAAUUUAAAUGUCACAAUUUAUUUUAUUUUAUAUGUGUAAUAAUUAUUGAUACUAAAUUCUAUAAUUUCACUUUGAAAUUGAUAAGUAGAGUAGCUAACAUUUUUUUUCAAUUUAGAUUUUAUUUAAUUUAAAUAUGUUAUUUUUUAAAAAAUUAUUUUUCAGAAAAUAACUUAAUUAGAUCGGUGUAAUUAUUUUUUUUAUUAAAAAUAAAAAAAAAACUAUUUUUUAGAAAGUCAAAAAAGAAAUGUCCAUUAAAUAAAAAUAAUUUUUGCAAUUUAUUAGAAAUUUCAAGUUUUUCAGUUGAGUAGCCCCAAUCAAACGAGGCCAUAGACUCUAUAUUAUCAGUCUAAGUCAUUCUUCAUUCUCCAUGUUAAGUGAACGAAACUUCUUUCUUUUUUUUUUUUUAUAUGAAAAUUCUUCUUCUUACUCCAACACGCAUUUAAACUUUUCUGCUAAAGACAAUUAAUUGAAAUUAAAGUUUCGACUCUAAAGCUCAAUCUUCUAUGUUUCUGGGAAAUUAUCUCAUUUUGUAACGUUCUAUCUUCAUCACGAAACAGCUAUUUAAACACGCAUAAAAUUUUCAACAACUCCUUUAGGUUUCUGAAAAUCUAAGGGAUUGAGGAUACUGUUAGAAUAAGUACGAUAAUCAUACGUAGAGGUUUUCCAUAAAGGGAUUCGCAAGCAUUGGUGAGAAAAUCAACCAUAAAGGCGUUGGCAACAAUUGGUAAGAAAAUCAACCUGAAAGGUUUCCUAAUCGUUUGAUGGAACCAUAUAUGUUAUUUCAUGACCAGAAAAUUAAGCAAUGUGCACCAUCAUAUUUUUAGGGCAAUUGGGUUGCAGCAAAUUUAGUGCUUCUAAGCUUGGUUAUAAAGGAUGCCUAUAACCCCUUUCGAAGAGUGGAAGCAAACCCAUGUGUCAGCUGCUCACCAUUUUACGUAGAAGCAAGCAACUCUCUCUUCCUCCCUCUCAACUCUCUUAUCUUACAGUUUAUUUCUGUCUAUAUAUGUACCUGCAAAAUCUGCUUCCAAAACCACCCAAAACUCGAGAAAAUAUUUUGUAUAGCUCUCUAUAAUUAGCCCUCAGUCUAGACAAGAACACUCUCCAAUGGCCAAAGACAGCUCCAAGAAAUCAGUCCAGGACAGGACACUGACAGGAGUAGGCAACCUCAUCAAGCUCCUCCCUACAGGAACAGUCUUCAUUUUCCAGUUCCUUAAUCCUGUCUUGACCAACAAUGGUCAUUGUCACACCAUUAACAAGUACCUUAGUGGGAUCCUCAUGGGGCUUUGUGGGUUUUCUUGUGCAUUCUCUUCUUUCACUGACAGUUAUGUUGGAAGUGAUGGAAUCACUCACUAUGGGAUUGCAACUGUGAAGGGACUAUGGACAUCUGCAGAUGCAGAAUCAAUGAACAUGUCAGGAUAUAAGCUUCAGUUUGGGGACUUUGUUCAUGCUUUCUUUUCAGUGAUUGUGUUUGCUGUUUUGUCUCUUUUGGAUUCUAACACUGUGGAAUGUUUUUACCCCUCUUUUGAGUCCUCUCAGAAGACUCUGCUCAUGGUGUUGCCUCCAGUUAUUGGUGUAAUCUCAGGCUCUAUCUUCAUGUUCUUCCCUAACAAGCGCCAUGGAAUUGGGUACCCUCCAAGUUCAAGUGAUUCUUCACAGCAAUCCUAGUGUGUGCAGUGUGCUGCUUUUAUAUUAAUAUCUGUUCUUCAUUAUUUAUUGCUUCACCAAGUUUGAAUUCUUCUUUUUCUUCGUUCCUUAACAGUACUUGUAAGAACGUUAACUUUGUCCUGAUUUGUAUGAUUGCUUUUAAAACUAGAGGGAAUACUGGACAUCAUUCCCCUGGCAUAAGCUUGUUGUUAGUCCAUGAUUUAUUAAUUAAGAAAUGAUGAUGCUAUUAACUAUGCAAGUCUUAUGUAUUGCAAAAUCAAGAAAUUAUAUUGACUAGGCAAUUUGUUGUCACUUGACAAGGAACUCUGUUUUCAUGAGCUUAAAGAGAUGAGAUAGUUUUUGGAGAAUUGAUCUAUUCAUGAGAAUUGAAUUAUUGUACUUGGAAAUCUGCAGGCAAAGACCAAAGUUCAAUUUCAAGUAAGCAUGAGGCAAUGCUUGCACUAUUAAUUAAGGAUUAAAAAUGCUGUCACAAGAAACUAAAAGCAGACCUAACACAAACAGAACUCAUUUUGCUUGAUGCUUAAGGAUUUUGUGGUGCAAGCAAAAAAUGCAAAUGCAAGCAAAAACAAUGCUGAUGCCAACCAAAGUAAGAUUGGCCAAACAAGCUCUAUCAAUCAGGUAAGUUCCAUUUGGUGUGUGGUCUUGAUUCUUGAAGAGUCAACUGACAACCAAUUUAAAACUGUUUUAGGCAUCUCAAGAAAUGGGAAAAACACUUUUUCCUUAAAACUAUUACAGAAUUACUUCAUAGAGCAAUAUCGAUUUGUGGGAAUUGCAAGAUUACAGGUGACUUGGACAGCAACAAAAAUCUAAAGAAGUUAUUCCUAUUAAGUUGCUAUGGAUCUAUAUGAGGUACAACUUACUCUGUCAAAAAAGUAUGAUGAUUUAUAAAUAAUCAUUAACAAAGGGAGAGUGGAGACGAUGGCAAUUAAAAAGAAAAUUUUCUAAGAAGAAAAUCUCAGGUGUUCAACUUCCAGAUACCCUUAGAAGGCCAAGGAUUUGUUAUCUUAACAACUUUCUGCUUUGCUUUCUGGGUUUGUCUAACUGCACUCUCUUGAUGACUAUUGCUUCCUUUCACAAUUUCAGCUUUAACUAUGUGGUGAUCAGAGGUACCUUUGGAUGAAAUCACCGAGUAUGAUCCUGGAAUGAACUUGUAUGGCGAGUCUUGAGAUGCCAAAAGAUAAUCCACUCGUGUGCCAUACUUGCACGUUCCUUGAACAUCUAAUUUACCAAAAUCCACAAUCAAGCUUGAGUGCUUGACAGCUCAAAGGGGAAUAUAAAAACAUGAUAAAUAGUAGCAGACAAAGAAGCUAAGGUUGUUUGCUUACUUUGGCCUUUGGCGAUGAUUACUACUGGUUCACAUUCCCCUGCAAAGUCCUUUGCAUCUAUGUACUCUUUUCCUUUUAGAAAGUUGGUUACUUCGAUUUUUGGCCUUGGCUUCCCAAUGUCCUCAUAGUACUGCAGGAUUAGUUGAUCAGAAGGCCGGAAGGGUAUCGAAGGAAAAUUUUCAAGGCACGGUUGCCAAAGAUUUUACCUUGACAAUGUCCAUCCAUCUCUCUGGAGAGUAAUCUGAUCCAGUGAGAGAGUUGAGACCUCCUGCUAAUAUGUGGGGAGAGUUGCUUGAUUGUAUCAUUGCAUUUAUCUGCUUCAUUCUCCAAUUUUCAUCCAAAUGGUCAAGUUGUGUGCAGUAAAAGUCUACUUCUCCUGCCAAUGGAACGCUAAUUGUGGCCUUCAGCACAUUCCUGCAUUACACAUGAUAAGGUGGUUAAAGAUAAAUCAGAAAUUUCCAAAUUGAAAAUGAUUUACAUGUUUAGUGAGUAUAAGCAGAAUAAGUACCUGAAAUCUUCAUCAUUGGCAAUCUUCUGAACUCUCCACUUCUUAAUUGGCCACUUAGAUAAAAUGGCAUUGCCAUAUUCUGGUGCCCAGCUCUCAGCAAAAACAUAUUUCAUCCCUAAGGAAGCAGCCAAAUCAGACAAGGGUCUCAUAGCUUUCUCUUCCUCUGCCUUGACAUCUUGCAGGGCUAAAAUAUCAGCAUCCACUUCCCUAAGCACUUCCAAUAUGCUUCUGCUGCUUUUCAAGUUCUCUUCACCUGUAAACUGAGUCAAGAACUUGGCAGGCAGGCACACCGGAGACCUCAACACUACACUGCUUCUAUAAUUUCUGCUAGCGAUAAUAUUUGAUGAUCCCACUCUUUCAUCUUCCACAAAGCCAAGUAAUUUACCAUGUGCUAUUGAAAUCUCGUUAUCAGGAAGAUUAAUGGAAACCUUCCGUCUUGAUAUUAGAUUCUUCUUUUGCGGGGAGAGUUGCUCCGGACUUCUCAGGCUGGCAUGCAACGGAGACUGCUUAAGAAUACUCUUGGGAUGAUAGUUCACAGACUUGGCCCGAGUGUCCACCUCCACUGGAUUCUUGAACAUCAUAAAAUCUUCGUCUUCUUGGCCGAAAACUACUGCUUCCUCAGUCUUCGGAACUGCAGGUGCAAGAGAGAACAUGGCGACAUUGAAAGUGGCAAUUCGGAUAGGCCUUUCGGAACUCGAAUCAUCUCGUUUGCGGUUCAGAUGAAUAGAAGAUUUAUGGAUGCCAGGUUUCCAUUUACAUCGAUCUUUGGGGGUUUUCCCAAACCUUCUGAUAAUAACUUUAGGUCGUGGACGUUUCCAUAUGAGCCGCCUUAUCCUUGAGCAGAGCUGCCGCAAUUUCUCGGUCACUGUACUUAACAUGUAAAAUGUUAAAUAUGUUGCUGCAAGAAUCAGGAUCUUUUGAACCUUUCUCAAUAUGACAAGAAGCUCAAGGCUUUCUAGUUCUCUCUUAUUACACUAUAAUUUGAUGCGAGACUGGCUUCAUGUCAACUAACUAGACAUUUUAGAAGUAGAUGGAAAAGUUGGGGGCCAAAACAAAGAUCAAUGGUGAAAAGAAAACAGCAUGGUAGUGAGAAAGUAGUUAAAGAGACAAAAGUGCUUUCCAACUGCUCCAAGAAGUGGGGUAGAGUUGACAAAACAGCACAUCGUCGAGCGCGUUUUCCAACAGCACACAAAAAACAGAUCAACUGCUACGGUACUAGUGAAUCUAAAAUUUCUGAAUAAUCUAAUCUGAAAAUGGAACCCACCAUGUGUAAGGAGGCAUCAAACAGGACUUUCACCAAAGUCUUCAAGACUAUAAUAACUUGAAAAAAGGGUGUUGCGUAUGAAUACAACUGAAACAAAUUUUCUUUGGUAGGUCUAGAUUUGGAUAUAAACCCCAAUGAUAUUUCAUAAAGUGUUGUCUUUGGACGAAAAAAUGAAGCAACCAUACAUAACCAUGUUGACUAAAGAAGCAAUUACACAUAAGAAUAUUUGUUAAAUGCCGGUUCCUUCAAGAGAAUUUUUGGCUGUAGUGGGAAAUGAAGGCCCAACUGUAAGCGCACCAUAAUCAGUGGCGAACAGUUAAAUGAGUGUGACAAGUGGUUUGGGUUCACACUUCACAGCCAGGCAGACUUGACUCUUCCUUAUCUACAAACCCACUGCCAUCUUUUAAUCCAGGCUUACGCCAGUAGUCGUUGGAGCCAUAAUUCCAUCCUGAAGGGUCUCUAAGUUGAAAUUAUGGGCACUACACUUAAAAAAUUGAAUCAAUUAUUUUUCCCAUUUAUAAUUUAUUUUUAUUAAUUUAUGAAUUUUAUAAAAUAAAUGUACCAUUUUCUCUUCCAGACGGCAACUUGAGGUGCUAUUGACCUUGCAAUAGGAACCCUGCCAAACAAAUUGAAUUCAGGAAUUUGAUCUAAUACCUGGCAUGCUAUUGAAUAUCUUCUAAAUAGACAAACACAAACUGCCAACCUGAAUGGAGAACAUGAAACAUAAAUAUAAUCCAGUCCAGCCUCUGCAAAGAAUGCGACAGAAGAAGGCUCCCCGCCAUGGUCUCCACAUAUUCCAAUUCCGGUUGUCCAUCAUAUACACACGGCCUUUUCCUGUGGCCAUCUUCAUGAGUUGGACUACACCUUUCUGAUCAAGCACCCACAUGCAAAACUAAUAUCAUCGAACAGCUUUAUCUAUUCUCCUUUUGGUACAUGAAUUCUGUCGACUUUUAAAAUAAUCAUCAUUUCUUCGUCAAUAAUAAAUAAACUUGCAGAUGCCUUUGGAUAGGCAUGUAUAUAUAUGGGGAUAAAUUUGCCAACAUCACCUCUACUAUAGCCAAACGUCAUUUGAUUGGAAAUAAUUAUCCUCGUCUUAUUCCUUGUGCAGCAUUAUUUUUUCCGCUACCGGAUCUCGAGGAGUAUCAGCAUUGGCCAUAACCUAUUGGGCAUCAUACAGCUAAAUGAGCAGAGAGAGUUCCGUCUACAAAUAGUAAUACAACACAAAAUUCUAGAUGUUGAGAGGAACAUAUCACAUUUAUGCAUCUCAUUUCAUCAGCCAAUGUUUCUAAACCACCUAUUAGAGCUGGGGGAGAUGAUGGUUGUUUUCGCCAUGUCAAUUCCCCUGUGCACCCAUUGAGUGAGAUCGUUCUCCUUCAUUAACCGCCAUAUCCCCAAAUUAACCAAGUUAUAGGUUUUUAAAAUUUUUAAGACUAUUUAAUCUUUAUAAAUUUAAUGAAAAUAAUUAUUUUUUUAUUUUAUUUUUAAAAUUAUAGUAGGAUUGUUAACUGUUUAAUCACCCUAAACUAUAAAAACUAAUAAAUGUUAUUUUAAAACUAUGUUAUCGAUUUUCAAAUUUUGAACCAUCCGCUGCAGCAUCUCUUAGUUUAUAACUCUCUCCAAACAUAUUUUAACUCUUUUGUUAUGUUAUUUGGUAAAAUACUAUUUAAACUCUGCCUAAUUUUAAUUAAUAUCGUUUGAUUAAAAUGAUAUGUGAGAAAAAAUAGAUUAAAAAAUAAAGAAUUUUAUUAAAAUUCUUUAAAAAUUAAAAAGUGAAUUUUUAAUAAUUAAAAAAAAUAUUUAUAAUUAUAAAAAAAUUUAAUAUGUAAAAUUAUAAAAAUAUUUAAAAAAUAAUUAAAAUAUAAAAUUAAUUUCUAAACAAUAAAAUUUUUAUAUUAAAUUUUAUAAUAAUUUUAUAAUUUUUGUCACUUUUAAAAUUAGUACGUUUCGAUUUUUUUUUAUAAAAAAUUAUCAUAAAUUUUAUCGAACGUGCACAAUAAAAAUUAAAUUUAAUUUAAAUUUAUCUGGAUCCAAAUGAAAUAUAAAAAUAACAAUCGAAUAAUUAAUAAUUUUGAAAGAUAAUAAUUAACUAUAUGACUUUUUUAUUGUUUUUUUAAACAUGCUAUAAUUUUUAUAUAGUGAAAAAAUAUUAGUUAAUUUUAUUAAAUAAUGUAUUUUCUCUAAAUUGUUAUUUUGUUUGGUGACGUUGCCCGCAGCUGACUGCGAAGUGAAGUCAAGGGAAGUAUGAAUUACCCUAUUUGCCCUUAUUUGUUAUCUGCUGACCUUUGGAUGGAAUGAAAAAUAAAUUCCAUCAGUUUUCGGUUUAGAUAAAAAAAAUUAAUUAAAUUAAAUUAAUAUAAAUUAAAUUAAAAUUUUUAUUUAUUUUAAUUUAAUUUAAAUUUUAAUUAAAAAAUAAAAAAUUAAAUUGAUUAAUAAUAAUAAUAUAUUAUUUUUAAUAAUAUAAAAAUUUUACUAUAAUUCAUAUUAAAAUAUAAAAAAUACAAUAAAAAUUUAAUUUAAUUUUGAAUUGAAGCGAUUAAUUUUUAACUGUUAUCCGGCUGCGAGUGAAUUAUAACGUACAACGUGGCAUCUUCUGAAAUAUACAUGUCAUCCGUUUCUGAAAAAUGCCUGACUGAUUGUAAAAUAUAAAUGAAUUUUCCCUCUCUCUAUAAAGAUAUAUAAUCCUCUUAAAGCUGUAAUAAAAUGGGUAUAUAACUUUCUGAAAUAAGCACCAGAAAAACCUGUAAUUAAAAGAAGUUACAUACUAUCUCCAUAAUUAAGAAACUUUUAUUUAUCUUUUAAAUGCAAUGAAGGAACGUUUUAUCCAUUACUAUUAUUAUUAUUAUGAAAAAAAAAGUGUUGGAAGUUUAAUCUAGAGAACUGGUGGCAGUACCUCAGCCUUGGACCAUUAAAUUAAAUAUUAAUGCAACUUAUUCUAUAAAAUAAAUAACAAUCUUAAGAUUGCAAUCACAGAUGUAUUAUUACCAUAAUCAUUAUGUAGAGCAGUCAAACAGUGAACCCCAUGUAAUUGAUAAAACUUAAGAGCAAGCAUAACUUACAAGAAUACGACGCCGAAUGGGGGUUCUACAAGAAGGGCAAUCCUUCAUUCCUUGUUUCUGAUGUAGUUCAUUACAUGUUGAGCAAACUACUUGAUGGGCACAUGGGAGGAAAACUACACACAUCUCCUCUGAGAGGCACAUCACACAUUCUCUCUCCCGUUUCACUCCUCCUGUGUUUAAGUAUUUCUCAACAUCACCAUCCAUUACUGAGUAAUAAGGCCUCCUCACCUCCUUUGCUGGACUAUACUUAACAUCUGUUACUCUGCUACCAUGGCUUUCAUUGAUGCCCAGUCGCAGGGCUGCAAUUUUUGACGAGUCCGUCUGGGAUAUUUCUCUUUCAAGCUUCUCAAUGUUAUCUUUGUACUUCUGCAAAUUAGUUUCAGCUUUCAAUUUAAUUGUAUCCUCCUCAGAUUUAGUUGAUGCCUCUAUUUGUUCCCUUUCUUUUCUUAUUGAACUGGCCUGCAAAACUAGUUCUUCCUUCGCCUUCUCUUCUUGUUGCCAUCUAGCCUGUAAUACGAUCAAAGUAAUGACUACUAGAGAUAUGAACUUAUUGAUGUGAAUGUAGGAUGUUCGUCCUAUUGAUAGUUAGCACCAGUAAUUUAACUUUUGAGGAACAAUUAUGAUAAACAAACAAACAAACAAAAAAAGAUUAAGAUAUGGUGCAACAGAUUAGAAUGAUACGGUAAACCAUAAACAUACACACAUUUAUCAACUGAUUUGAAGGUAAAGGCUGGAGAAAAAGGUGUAUCUUAUCAGCAUUUUUCUAUAAUUUUAUUUUAGCAGCACCUAGCAAAGUUGAAAUAACAAAUAAAGCGUGCAAUAGAACUAAAGAAAACUACGAUAAAUAAAACAGCAACAUAAUCGUUUUAUGCCAAAGAAAAAAAAAAAAAAAGAAUGUCUUACCAAAGAUAAGCUUACUACAUUCACAUCACCUCUGAGCCAGUACAUACCAAUACUGGCAAUGAGAUGUGCUGCUUUCUUUAGCAGCAGAUGCACUUAUUCUAUAUCAUACGCACGCGUAAUUACCUCCACAUGUGUGCUUACCAUAUCAAUUCCUCAUUGGGUGGAGGUUUGUAUAUUGUAUGCAUGUGCCUAUGGCAAAACCACCGUCAUAUAUAGGUCAUGAAAACUCGUAAUGAAGUUUAAUUUAAUGUCAAAAAGUGCAACUCUAGAAGUGAACCUACUUGGACAAUAUCUAUCCCUAUAUCCAAAUAAUUAUGUUUAGAAUUUAGAGCAGUGUCGCAUCCUGUAUAACCAGCUAUUUGCAACACAUUCUAAGUUACAAUGUACAACCAGCUCAAUAGAACCUGUUAAUGCCCACCAUAUCCAUUGAUUGGUCCAAUCAACUCAUGUUAUGUACACCAUGUUUCAAACUCAAGUGACUGGUUCAAACAUAUCCUGCAUGGAAGCUCCGACUGAAGAAAGAUGGAGCAAAAGGAAAUUGGAUUUAAAUGUUCAGAAGCAUACCUCAAGUUGUUCCUUUAGUUGCCUAGCUUGUUCUAAAUCCUGUAGUAGUUGCAUGACCUUGCAUUUUUCAGCUGCAAGUUCUUCCUGUAAAAGGGUUUUCUGCUUCUCCCAUGACUGAAACUUCAACUGCGUCUUCUUCUCCCUCUUUGAUACUUCUUGACAGUUUGCAGCUGACUCUGCUGCACGCAAUUUUGCAGCCUCCAUCUCUUGCCUCAGCAUAGCAUUCUCCACCUCAAGCCUCCGGACAGCAGAAUUAGCUCUCUCCACCUGACCACCAGCCUUGCCCAAUGCAUUUUCCAUCUCAGCGAGCUUCUUCAUGGUGUUCUCUUCCAGAGUUUGUUUCUCUUUCUUGAGCCAUUCAACUUCUUCCUUCUCCUGUCUAAGUGACUUAAGUUCAGCCUUAUCCUUACUUAGCCUUCGAGCAGCCUGCAUAACUUUCUGGUUUGCCCAUUCCGUCCAUUCUCGGAGCUGAUUUUGCAAUUCCCGUACCCUAGGGACCAGCUUCAUAAUCAUCUCAUCCUUCUUGUUCCUUGGAAUCCAUGGUGCCACUGACUUAUCAUAUGGUAUACCAGCAAAACUGCAAUUAGAUGCCUCAGCAUUACAAUUAGCAGAGAUUGGAGCACAGUUGCCUUUUGAAGGCAAUGAAAGUGAUAGCUCAAUAUCAGUAGCUGCCAAUGCAGGUGGAGUAUUGAGUGUAGGUAAUGCAGAUGGGAUGUUGACCAUGGAUAGUGUAGAUGGGACAUCAGUCUCUGACAAAGAAGUCACAAUAGAAGUUCCUAAAUUAGAUGCUGCUGGGGGAGAGCAUCCAGGAUUAUUUGAAAGAUUCUGGCCUCCUUUGUCUUGAGGCACAUCAACUCCCAUUACCUUACUCAAUCUUAAAGAAGCAUCAUUUAUUUUUAGGGCAGAAUCUGAAACUGAUUUUGCUUUCUUAUCCAAAAUCAAAUUACUCAAUUUCCCUGUUCUUGAUCCUUUAGGCCCAUAUGUUCUGUGGCCCUUGUCCAAAUGAAGUGACUUCUGUCGAAGUAUGUAUUCCCUCUUGCUGCUAUUGGAAUGAACCUUUCUACUGACUGUAAACUUUUCUUCAAACACAGGAGGUUGAGAAGUUCCUGCAAUGUUGAAAGAUUUAUCUGCAGGAUCACAUGUAGAAUUCAAUUGAUUUUUGUCUGAGACUAGUUCACUAAGAACACCAGAGUUGCUUGUUUUAGUUGUGUUGGGAACUCCUGUCAUAUUGUUGGGUGCCUCAGAUUCAGAACUAGGAGAACAAGGAACAGAAGGUUCAAAUUUGCAAGGAUUUGGAAGAUUCAAUUCAGAAUAUUUGCCUUCUUUUUUCAUCUGGGGUUGGAUAGAAGGAGCGGAAGCCCCAUCAGCAGCAAAACCAGUCAAGGAUUCACCAUCCACUGCACAAGCAAGAGAAACAUUCAUAUCACAAAUCAAUAAGCACCACAUUGCAUCCCCAGUGCUAAAGAAAGGCCUAACUUCUCGAAGUACACAAACCAAUUCCGCCAAUAUGUACUUCUCCAGCUGUUGUAAAUCCUCAAAACAUUGCCCCCUUGAAGGAUCAAUAUCUUGACCAUUCCUAAGAAAUGUUAAAGUAUUAUCCACAAUAUUUGACAAGGUGUCUUUACACCCAUAACAAAGACCGGACCUCAAAACAGCCUUUGUAGCAACUUCUUCAGUAUAACCGAAAGCAACAAUCUUUUUAAUGGCACUCUUAAAGAUUGCAUCCAAAUUGCCUAACACAAGUUCUUCUAGCUGGGAUUCUGUAAGAUCACUCCAAUCAGCAUCAUGGGAUUCUUCUGAUUCUAAUUCCUCUUUAGACCGGCUUGUUCCAACCUCCAACAAUCCUACCCGGCUUGUUCCAACCUUCAACCCAUCAGAAUUGUCUUGGUUAAUGCCACACUGACAUGAACUAGAUGGCCCAUGAACUGGGAGAGCUUCAAAUUUCUCAGCAGAGAAUUCAUAACCAGAGCAGUCAUUCUGAGGUGAAGGCAUAACCUUGCUGGGAUCACCCAAAGGUGGAUCAGCCCUGAAUUUUCUCUUAUUUCUGCUUCCAUUUUCUUGGACCGGAUGCAGUGGUGACACUUGACUGCUACAGUUACUAAUACUGGCUAUAGCAACCAUUGAUGCCAUUUUUCAGCUGCAUAAAGUUGAAAUAUUUCAAUUCAAUUGUUGAACUCAUUGAUCAUUCAUAUGUGAAUCCUCAAUAUACCACUAAUUAAAUGCAUCAAAAAGAAAUAAAGUAACAAUAAACUUUAAAAAUUCAAUACCAAACCCAACGCAUUAGAUCUUCUACUCGAACGGAUUCAUAUUUAACCAUAAAAAAUGCAGAAAUUCAUCUUUGCAUUAGAUAGCGGCGAGAAAACAAAUUACCUUUUUAUCUCCCUAUCAACCUUAACGAAUCAAAAAUCAAAUUUCUGCAUCAAAAAUCGCAAAAUCAAUCAAUAAACCAAGUGCCAGGUACGAAAAAUUAAUAAAGAUGGAUUAAAACAUACCCAGUUCAACAAACACAACAUUUCUAAAUCGACUAUAUCGAAUUCUAAAAUCAGGAAUUAUUCCAUAUAUAUAUAUAUAAAAAACCCAGAAAUGAGACAAUACACUGAUUAUAAUAUUGAAGAUCCACAAAGCAAGUAUGAGAAAUUGAGAUGUAUAAUUAUAAUCAACGAUCCAGACGUACCGGAUUUCGCAGCUUAUUGUUUGAGCAAAAACAAAGGUAUGCAAGAACAAUCUAAGAAAAUUGAAGGAAAAAAAGAAUACAGAACAUAUAUGGCUCUUUUUGGAAUUGUUAUUGAAUUCCUUUUUUAUUUUUCCCUGCUGGUAGAGGUAGCAGUGAACGCCCCCUCAGUCUCUGUAUAUAUGGUGGGGUGGCCUUCGAUGAAUUUUAUGAUUUCUUGUUACUCCUUUACUAUUACAUCUUAGCCGAACUAAGUGCCCUCGUUUACGUCUAUUUCCUAUUCUAAAUUAACCAGUCUCAGAGAAAAAUAACUAAAUUAAAUAAAUAAAAAUAUGACAAUUAUAUCUAAUAAAGAAUAAUAUUAUUUAUUCGUUUCUUUAAAUUUUCAUAAUUUUUUUAUGAAGUUAUAAUUAUUAUAGUUUUUCUAUCUGAUAUUAACCUUUUAGUGAAAGCUUUUAUCAUAUUUAUGUUUUUUAUUUAUUGAGAAUUAGAGACUUAAAUAUAUUCCAUAAAUAAUAUACUUUUAAUCAUUUAAAAAAAUUAGAGCAAAUAAUUGCUAGAAAAUAUAAUUGUUUCAAAAUUUAUGAUAUUUUAAAUUUAAGAGAUGAAUUUUAUUAUAAAUAUUAUUUAAAAAUAAUUAAUUAAAAUAAUUUGUAAUAAAAAAAUUAAAUGAAUUAUUUUAAAAGUUGGAGCUAGAAUGACAAAACAUAUAUAUAUAUAUAUAUGGAUCUCGAGAUUUAUAUUAUGAUAUUUGAUUUUAAUCUCACUUCUAUAUGGCGAAAAAAAUAAUUAUUUUAAAAAAUAAAAAAAAAAUAAUAUUUUGUUUGGUCAUGUAUUUAAAGUUGGAAGAAAAACAAAAUAGGACGUGUGUUUUGAAGUUUAUUAAGUAUAGACUAUAUAUUAAAUCGAUUUAGUAAUUUAAUUUUUUUUUACAUAUAAAAAUUAGUUGAAAAUAUUUUGAAUUAUAAAUAUUUAAAAUAAUAUUUUCAUCAUUCAGUGCUGACAUGGCUGUGAGAAAUAGAAUAGCCGCACCGACAUUAAACUUACGGGAAAUUCAACAUUUGAACAGAAAAUAAUAAUAAUUAAUAAAUUUCCCACUUUCUAACGUUGUUGAUCGCUUCCACGGCCCAAUCAAUUGCAUUUCCAUCGCAACAAUAGCAGCCAGCACUUCAAGCGAGCGACGGAGAAUGGUCGCUUUGAAUGUUGCUGUUGCUUGAUGGAAUGACCCCUCUAUCAAGUAGGGUUUGGUCUGUGCAGCUGUUGGCACUCUUUCUUGGAUAUAGCAUUUUUGUUGACCCUUGUUUUUAUAUAGCUCCGUGUCACCUAUGAGCUUGAAUAUUGGGCUUCUAGGCCUAGUCCCGUGCUAUUUUCCGCCAUUAAUGCAAUUCCAUCUUUGGAGGAAUAAAAAGAGAACUAUGAAAUUACCACAGGAGAAAAACGAGAUUGGACAAUAUUACAAGUACGAAAAUUCCAUGGAAGAGAAGACAAGGAAAUCCAUCUAAAAUUUUACCAUAGACACUAUUAGAGUUUAUUAUUCAUCCUUGUCAUUUGGAAGCUAUUGCUCAUAGCAGGUGGUAGCUACUUGAAUAACUGGUAAGAACAGGAGUCUUCUUUUUCCUUUUUCCUUUCAUCAUGACUGCCUUCAUUAUCUUCAAAUAGAGAAUUAAUUUGGUGGAAUAAACUUGAUUGAGAUGCUGUUGACACAAUGACGUUCAUCUGUAGGAGUCUUGUACCCUUCACCUUUGAAAACAUGACCCAAGUGCCCCCCACAAGCUGCACAUGUGAUCUCAGUUCUUCUCCCAUCUGCGUCUGGCUGAAAUCCAUUGUUUCCAUUUUUCAAAAUUCAAUCAAAGAUGCAAAUAAUUAGUCAAGACAUUAAGGUUUAAGUAAGAUUUAAAAAAAAGAGAGCAGAACUCACAGAGCGAUUUAUGGCUCCAGGAAGACCUUCAUAGAAAGCAGGCCAACCACAGCCAGAGUCAAAUUUGGUAACUGAUUUGUAAAGUGGCGUCCCACAACCAGCACAAUUGUAAACUCCUUCACCAAAGAAUUUAUCAUAUUCUCCUGUGAAUUUCAGCCUGUGUCAUGUCAUCAACACAGGCACAAUGAGAGAGACACAUCUUAAAGGUCAGCGACAGGCUGCCAUGAGAAUCUUAGCACAACAUAAUUAUGAAACAAACAUUUAAAUCCAGACUCAUUGCUAGCAUACAUUCAAGAGAAUAACUAAAAGCAGAUACAUGAAAAUAAAAGUAUAUGACCAUGAGAAGAGCCAGUCAUGACACAGAAAAUGACAGAAGCAAAUAGUUAAAUUCCUUCAAAUUUUAGUUUGUUAUAGUGAACAACUAAAGUUUGGAACAAAUCAAGAAACUUUUCAUCGCACAAUUGUUUGGUUAUUCCAAGUUUCAAGCAAAGACCAAGAGUAGAAUUACAGUACAAGCAAAAAAUUUCCGGAACACAAAAAGUUGAAGUGAACAAAUAAGCUUUUAGAUAUACAAGAGAAAUGAAACAAUUCACUAAAAAACGCCGUCACUUCUUCUGUUGUAAACGGAUUCGGGAAGCAUAAUUAUUUUCACAUGCAAACUGAACUGAAGUAGAAUCACAGCAAUACCCGAAAAAUCAAGAAUCUCAACGCUUGGCCAUAGCUAGAUUUGACCACUUGGACAAAUUCAAAUAAGAUCGAAUGGCAAUUCCAAUAAUCUAAAAAGCUAGUAAGACAACUGAAAUAGAAGAGUUGAAAAUAAUCAAACAUUAACAGACUAAUUGAUUUGAUAUGAAAUGAUAAUAUAAUGGAGGAGGAUAGAGGAAAAUUUAGGAUUUACUCGGUUCCUUUCUCCCGGAGAACACGAAACUGCUCGGGGGACAGAAUAGCCCGCCACUCUUCCUCCGUCUUCUGAAUCAAAGCCAUUGCCAAGUAUGAAUGAUUCUCUUCCCUUCAGAGAGACUUGAGUUGAUCACUCGACUCGACCGAGCCCAGAUGUUUAAAUAUCUGCACCCUAAAAUAGGCUAGCAGGGAUUCGUGGAAUGUAUGAAGACGGAAUACAGGGCAAAUGCAGAUGUUCACUCCCUGUACUUGUGGGAAAUGCACAUCCCCCCUUACAGUAUUUACAGUCGAUUACCAAGUUUGACAAAUUUUGGUAGGAUUUUUUUUUUUGUCGAAAAUAGGAAAUUAUUGGGAUUUGGACACGUAUUAUAUUUUAAAUAAUAUCCAAUGAAAUACAAACAAUUUUAAAAAUAAAAGAAAUAUAUAUAUAUAUAUAUAAACUAAAUGAAUUUAAAUAAUGAUAAGAAAAUAUAAGAUAUAUAUAAAUAAUUUAUAAUAAAUUAGUAUUACGAUUUGAAUAUUAAAAUUAUAAAUAAAUGCAAUUAAAAUUUAAAGCAAAUUACUCUCGGGGAUACGUGUGAGUUCAAUCUGUUUGCUAGUACCAUUAUGCUUAGGAUAAAUGAAUAAAUUAAUAUAAGCAUCAAGUAAAUAUAAUCAAACAUGAAAAAAAGAUCUAUUUUAAAAUAGAUAAUCCAUUUAUUUUUCACUUGUUAAGUGAAUCAAUGCCUUGCUGGCUGCUGCUACUAGGAUCAGGCAUGAUUCUCUGAACAAAGCAUUGAUGACAAGAGAUGCCAAAUAUCAGGAAUAAUAUAUUACCCUAUUAAUAGAGAUAAAGAAGACUAGAGGAAGGAGGGAGGGAGGAUCAUAACCGGCAGCAGAUAUCAAAGCAAACAACUUUAUGAUAUUUUUUCUUCCUGAAUACAAUGUGAAUGAGAAACUAUAAUAUAGCUUACGCAAAUUUACAAUUAUCAUUUCCCAGCCUCCAGGAAUCUCCCUCCAACUUUGCUACCCAAGUCCCCCGUCUUUGGAUCUACCAGCUGCUCGGUAUGACAGCACAAAGGAGAAGUAUUCUGUUCUCCUCAAGCCAUUUUGUUGGUUAUUGGCAGUGUUUCAGCAACAUUGCUCAGAAACCAUGGCUUGCGUGAAGAUCUUCGGUUCAGUAUAUCUUGUAUGCGGAACAAACUCAGUUUCAAUCCAGGAUCAUUAACCCCCAUCCUGAUACAAGCCAAAGCCAAAAGCAAGUCAAAUCAUAAACCAAGAAAUGACUGCAUUCUUUAAAUCACAUCGGGAUGCAAUCAGGAAACAAGUAUCUAAAAGAAAGAGUUCACUGGGUGCAAAACUACAGAAAAUGAAACACAGAUUCUGAUGCAGCAAAGGAAAAGGAAUUGCUCAGCAACAAUGUAGAGGUAGCAAAGUUAAGACUGCCAAGAAGACCCACCAAUUCCAGGGAUCUCUGAUGAGAUGGAGAUGGAACAACAAUAGCUGCACUUCGGCUAGCUGAAAGUUGCUGAUCUGACAAUUCACUCCUCAUUGAACGGUAAAUCUCAGACCCAGAGGCAAUAGAAAAUUCAGAAUUCUCUUUUCUCCUUGAACUCAUUGGGUUCCCAUUGACUUCAACAGUCGCAUCCAUAGCAUCAACACCUGGCUAUUGAUUAGAACUAAAAUUAGAAAUGACAAGCAACCAACGGCCCCUUAAACAUAUGUGGCAGGAGCAGAGUGCAGGCAUAAUUACUAAAUAUAUUCUCUUCAUUUUCUUCCAAGUUAUGGAUUCAAUUAAGCUCACUAAAUGCCAAACAAAAUUUAACUAAAUGCCAAACAAAAUUUAACUAAACGCCAAACCCCAUGGGUGCUACCUUCCUUGGGUUUCAAAAUAAAAUCAAGAUAAAAGAAAAAAGUAUAUAUUAAACUGUUGACGUUAGAAAGUGUUACAUUUUUACACAGUGUAGCAAUUUUUGGGAGCUUUUGAAAUAAAACACUUAACUUGAAACAGGCAGAAAUUAUGGCAUCAAACUUAACCAUUGGAAAAGGUAAUUAAGAAGCAACAGAGGGACAAGAUGGUCUUCUUAAUACUUACAUAAGAUGGGUUUUUAAUCUGUACAAUAAUAAUUGUAAUAUCAUCUGUCCGACUUUCAUGCUCCAGCCAUAGUUUAUAUGACUCUCCCGCAAUGGCUGCACAUGCAUCUCGGGGAUCGGCAUAUCUUGCUGCCUAUAGAGAGAGAGAGAGAAAAGGCAUUUCUAAGGGACGGAACAACAGGGGCAAGAGGAGUGGUAAAAAAAAGGGGGAAAAUUGAUAUGACAGUUGGCAACCAUGAAAUUCCGGAAAAAGAAUAGUAGUUAGAUCAGAACUGCUAUAAAGUAAAAAGAGCAAGCAAUAUAGUUUUACUAUAUCAACACAUUUGAGAAUCAAAUGGUGUCACAGUAAUAAUAUACCGAGAAAAGAAGCGCACUAUGGUCAUAAAUGCAUACCAUAUCAACAACAGCUUGGCUUGAGAGGAACUCAAAAACUCCAUCACUUGCAACCACGAAGAACAAAUGAUUGGGCAUGAGCUGAACAAUGGAAACCUCUGGAUCAACAAUAACGCCAAUCGUCUCAGCUGUACUAUCCCCUACACUUCUCGUAAAUGCAGUCCCCGGAUACAUCCCAUUCUGCACCCACAACCUUGGAGGAUCUCCCCCUUGACUUUCCUCAUCAUCCCAUAACUGUAUAUCAGGAUCCUUGUACCCUUCCACUUGAUCAACACUCAGAACUCUAGCCCCACAUAAUUUGACUCUGUCGUACUCAUCUUUCCUAAAUGGGGUUUGAUCAUUAGACAAAUCUUCAGCUAUAAUUCUAUUCCCAUUUUUAACAGCAAUUACUGCUCUGGAAUCACCCACAUUGGCAACAUAAAUCUUAUCUCCAAUAACAAGAACAGUUAUAGCAGUGGUACCACUCAUUGUAUCAUCAAUUUUACUACUAUGUAACUCAGAAUUCAUCCUUAAAAAUGCAGAACUAUAAGCUUUAACAGGGUCAUUCAACAACGAGGGAUCAUCUGCUAAUAUCUCCACUAACCUAUCCUUAACGAAAUUUGAACAUUCAGCACCAUAUACACCAUGGCCAUCAAAUACACCAAAAAAAUGCAUAUUAGGGUUACCUUGAAUUUGAGUUCUAAUGCAGAAACUGUCUUGGUUUUCCUUGUCUGGUGAGUCUGGGUAGUAACCUCGCUGAGUCAGAACAGAGUACUGCAACUUUAAGUUAUGGGACGGGACAGGAAUAAUCUCCAGUGAUCUCUGAGUGAGUAUGUGUUUAUUACCAACAUGUUCCGCUUCAUGGUAGUCCUUUGAAUCACCAUCUGUUGAUGACGGGUAGCGGCUACAACACUUGCCGUGGACACAGCCCAUAUUUUUGGUAGGCAAUCGAGGGGUAAAAAAGAGAAAAUUUUCGAACUUCAGACUUGCUGUUUGCUGAAUGCCCUAAAGAAACACGAACCUAUCUGGAUUUGGAUCUUAAAAUAGCAGAGAUGAAGUUAUGAUGGAAGUGGUCGACUGGGCUUUCCUCUAAAUUCGACAAUGAAGCUCCGGCAAGAGUAAUUUUGAGGCGAAUUCAUGUAGAGAAGGGCCAAGAGGGAAGAACGAACAAACAAACCCUAGGAGCCAAAUAACCCAAAAACUCACUUCUAAAGAGAAAAUUUGCUUAUAAAAUAAUGAUGAUCUACAUCUGGGUUACACCCAAGAAAACAUUCUCUAUGGAAAUCAUUCACAGAUUAGAAUAUCCUGCACAGAAGAAACGAAUUCUUUUUCCCUCAAUAAAACUAAAGAAAAGUAAAGCUACAGAGAAGCAAAAGUGAGUAGCAUUUUAGCCGCAGAGAAACGUCGGGGAUCUGCUGCUUUCAUGAGGUUUGGAAAGAAAAAGAAAUGCAGGCAUUCUGGUUACCAGAUCAGGGCUCAAGAAGAAGAAGAAAGGAAGUAGCAAUGUAAAGACUGAAGUAAAUGAAAGCCACAAGAAAGUAAAGAAUAUGACAAUGAGGGGUUUGAUGAUGACGCAAAUGAAGGUAUUCCUUUCAACAGAAAGCGAAACAGAGAGAUUCGAUGUGCGCAUGGGUGGAUUUUGUUUGUACAGAGACAAGAGCCCGUCUUCCAAGAAAACAACACAGAGACACGGAGGAGCCAAGUGAGUGAGGGAGGGAGAGAGAGAGGGAGAGAGAGAGUAUUGCCAAAGACCAAGACCAUGCAUUAAUCUCUCUAAAGAUUUUGGCUUUCUUCUUUUGCGUGUGCCAGGGAACAAGACCAGACACAAGUCGAUCGCUUCAUUUUUCUUCCAUUUUUAUAUAGUUUCUUCUUUGGAUUGCAUAAAAUUAAAUAAACUUCCUGCCCUUUUUUUAAUGAAAUUUCCUCCCCUGCGUUUUUACAAAGUUACAUUAAAAGUUCAACAUUUAUACUGUUACAUAUUACCAUUAUCAAUAUGUAAAAAUAUAAAGGACAUCAAGGGCUCAAUUCGCCUGGGGAUGCGCCUUUCAUAUGAAAUCUACUUCGAUCGCUCUUGGCUCAUUUCAGACUGGUAGCUGGAUGAAGAUGACAUGAACGUGGGCUUUUCUUUUCCUUAUUCUUCAGUUGGAACUAGUCAAAUUGAGCUCUAUUGUGGACAUGCCUUGUUUUAUCCGGACUCUGGUCUGGUGCCUUUUCCUCCAUCAGCUCUAUUCUGUUGUUUUUCAGGUUUGUGCUGCUUGCUUUGUUAUCUUUCCCAAGCAUUAGCUAGAAAUUAGAUGAAUGGGAUAAUAGUCUUUGUUCCGGCCGAUGACGAACUGAUGGUGCUCUUUAAAUGGUUUGGCGGAGGGGUUAUCUUGAUUUACUACUUGUACUCUUUGAGAUGAACUUAUAAAUAAUUUAAAACCUUCCAAACAAAACAUUCAACACAAACAAGUAGCAUACUUUAAAAACCCUUUCCUUAUUUUGCAAAACUUGAUCGCAUACAUAUCUGUAGUUUUAUUUAGAACCUUUAUAUUUUGAGCCUUAAAACUAAUCAUUAAUUAUAAAUUAAAAAUCUUUAUCUUUUGACUAAAAAGAAACCUUUCUCCUACUCUAAACAGUAGUAAAUUGCUUAAUUUAUGAUUAGUUGGAUAAAUUAUUUCACAUGGAGAUGGACAUCUUAUGGAUUAGGUAUAUGUGUUGGAUUUUGUUUCAGCACUCUUUCUCCCCAGAAUUAGCUGGCAUGGAAAUGAUGAGAAUAUGAAGAUGGAGGUGAAUGAGAUAACCUCACAAGGCCAUAACACAACAACAACAACAAUAAUAAUAAUAAUAAAGUCUCCUUCACAGUUCACAGACAGCAGAGAGAAAGGGUUAGGGAGGAGGGUGAGAAAAGCUGAUGAAGCAAAGGUUUGUCUUUGAGAGUGUUUCAAAGCAUAGUUCCAAAAGUGCUUUUUCGAAGAAAAAGGUAAAAGUUUCUAGAUGAUGAGGGAACCAAAGUGUGUCUCCACUUCCUCACAUCACCUUAUGCUCCCAUCAACCAUAUGCUCCCACUUUUUAAACCUUCAUUUUGUUAUUUUCUUCAUCACUCUCUUUCCUUUCUUAUCAUAAUCUCUCUUUUUUUUUUUUUUCUAAUAAUUUUAUAAUAAUGUUUCCCUUUUAUCACUUAAACUUGUAAUCAUUUCAAAUUAUUGCCUCUCCUGUUAUUAUUUUCUUUUUUUUAUUACUAAAAGUUACAAAUCUAUAUAUUCUCAUUGAAAAUUGUUUAUAUAGAUGUUGAGGCUAAUGAAUGUGGGCUUCAAUAGGUCCAACCCACCAAGGCUCCAACAAAAACCCAUAGAAUUGAAGCCCAAAACUUGGAUUUGUUUGUCUAGUCAAUAACCAAAAGAGCCCACUAAAUUGUGAAUAUCAAAUGAUAACUAUUUCAUGUUAUCAAAUGCCAUCCACCAUUAUUUGUUUUAUUUUGCACUUGAAUAUAUUUUAGAUCAAAGCAUAUGGUUAAGUGACACGUAUUCUAGUUUUUCUUUAUAUAUAUAUAUAAAAGAGAAAAGAUUAUUGUGUAAUUAUGACAGCAAGAAGUCACUGCCCAGUUAAUUUUCCUACCCCACUUGUUUAAAAGCAAGAUUAACUACCCUUUUGAAAGCAAAUCAUAAUUACUUAAGUUAGUUAACCAAAAUAAAUUGUCUGUUUAGUAUUGUUAAUGAAAUCUAAUUGAUUCCCACUAACAUUUUUCCAAAAUCUCAAAUAGUCAUCUUUUGCCAUGAGCUAGGCUGAUGAGGCUCCAUCAGUGCUGUCUGUAGAAAGAUGAUCAAAAUUGCAAUUUACUUGUAUGUUUUGAUGCACAAUCGUUAAAUGUGAUGCUAUUGGAUUUUUUUUUGUCUGGUUUGCAAUAGUUUAUGCUUAGCUAAAACCAAAGAAAAUUUGGAGGUGACAUCACGUAGAUGGGUAUGCAAAUGUACACUUCUGAUUUGGACGCUGGCCCAUCAGGAAUUUGCACUUGAUUUCUGACUAUUUAGGUCUGUAAUGGCUGGAAGUUAAAAAUCUAGUUUAUGCAGAAAGACCCAGAAGCCCAUUACGGCUCCAACCCACAAACUAUUUCAGGGAGAUCAUUUGUCCAGUGAUCAGAGACAGAAGCCAUUAACUUAGGAAAAAGUAAUACAGCAAGCAGAAAUGUACAUUCAAAAUGCUAAGCAAAAAAAUUCAUCAGUAACUUGAAGACGAUAGCUUCUGCUUUAUUAGAGUCGUCGUCGACAUAGAGGCAAAUGAGGGUUAUUGAGUUAAUGCCAUAAACACAAAAUGGCUCCUAUGCUCAGGAAAGCCCAUUUUCGCAUAUUCCCCUGAAAUGGGCUCGCACUUUACCAAACAAGCCCUUAAUUUGUAAGCCAAUAGUAAUACUAAUAACCAUGCUCUGGCAUGGGAUAUGUUCCAGUGUUAGAUCAAUUGAUUAGAAAACUUGAGGGGUUUUUCCAAAAGAAGAGAAAAGGAAAGCAAAGAUGUUGGUUUGCUACGUGUAUCUCCAUAACUGUGAAGCAAAUGAUUCUUGGGACAAAGCGAUCGAGAAGAAUAACGCAUGGCCAAUUAUGGUCACGUGACAGAUUCUGUAUUAUAAUGGGACAAAGAGCUGUUAGAUUGCAUCAUGAACAUGGGUCUGUGGUGACUUCCACGCCAGAUGCAUAAUCAUCGUACCCAAAUCAUAUCAAUAUAUAUUUUUUCAUGAAAAAAAUUAAAAUAAAAAGAGAAAUAUUCCCAUGCAAACCCAAACCAAACUCCUCUUGAAACCUAAUACCCACCUUUCUUUUCCCUUCAUAUAUAUUUCUUGGGAUUCAGCUCUGACAUGCACAUAUAAACAUUAAUACUGAAUUGAGGAGAAAGAGAGGUGUCAUCAAGAGUGUUGAUUUCAUAAGAACAAAUUGAGGAAGGUAGAAAAAAAAAUUAAUACAAAAGAAAUUUAAGUUCAUAUAAACCUGAAAAAUUAAACAAGAGCACUACACAAGCUCAAAAAUCUUAGGCGUGACAAGCCUAAGUGGGGUGAAUUAUCAUGAAAGAUAGAUCCCAAAUGCUCACUCUCUACUUCCACAUCAUCCUCUCAUCUCUAAAUCUUCCCCACUUUUAUCUUUCUACACAAGUCAAACCAACAUUCAUGAAACCACCCCCCCCCUCCCCAAUUAACCAAUCAUUUCUCUCCACGUAAUCACUUCCCCUCCAUCAUCCGCCCUAGUAAAAAUUUUUCUACUCAUCUCUAAACGCCUAACCCUCCCCUCAACAUAUCUACCAACCCAUUUUUUCCUGUUUACUUCCGGCGGACUGUGAACGUUUGAAACACCACACUUCCGCUGUCUGGAAACUCAUCCAUCGCGCAACUUCUGCAUUUCAUUCCAAGUGGCUCCACCGCGUGGGCAAUUCGUGUCCAAACUUCGUGGCUCGUGCAUGUAGUAGAGACUGACAUGGUUGCUGGCCGGAAAACCUGCACCACCUUCUUUAAAGUCUCAGAUAUGUCAUCAUUAUCGUCAAAAAUGGACCCAACACACUCAAAACUUGCAUAGCUGUAACCAUCCUCUGGAGUGACAUGAAUGGUAGAGUAACGAUCAUUAUCAAUCCCAUUCAUGGAGUAUCCACAAGGGUCAAAUGCAAAAUCACAAAUGAUAGCUGCUGGAUUGAUAUCAUCUAUACCGGUAAGUUUCGUCAUCUCUUUUCCAGCUACAUCACCGUCCUUGCCAUCUCCAGGAGGUUGAAAGAACUUGCGAGCCAAGACACGGUCGAGUUCAGUCAUACACACCUCUACAGUGUAGAGAUCAUCGUUUUGGGAUAUUAUAUGAUUUUGGUCACUAGCAGUGAAGACAUGCCACGAAUGAGAAGUCUUUUUAGAGGGCAUAACAGAGGCUUUUCUAAAACAAAGAUUGGAAGGGAGGUUCUCUUCAAGGUAAAUGACUUCUUCUUUGAAGCUGGUGUGAGGAAAGGGCUGUGACUUGGGGAAGAUAAAGCUGCCUCUGGUGUACCUACAGGAGCACAAAGUGAGGCCGAGAUUGCAAGCAUAGUGUAACAAUGGACGGAUGGAUUUGAGGAGUUGGGUGGUCCCACAUGUCUUGAUGAUAAUCUUGGUGGGGUAGACAAAGAGGCUUGAUUCUGAUAACACGUAGGCAUCAAAAUAGUGAUUCCCAACAGCAGAUACAACAGUACAUUGCACAGCAUUUAAAACUUUCACUAACGACUCAAAAUCAAGAAGCCUAAGGCCCAUAUUAUCCACCACAGGAUCAUCACCGAAGAAAUGAAGCUCCAGGCGCUUCUCAAAGCCUUCAAAACCAGAAACAGCCAUUAAUGCAAGUAUAGCAAGGAAAGAAAGAAAGAUCACAAACACAAACUGAAUAUCUAGAAGCUAGAAAGAAACCAAAACAAAAGGCAGGGAACAGAGGAAAUUGCUAGGAGAGAAAGAUCUCAAGGGAGUGAGGGACUACAGGUGAGAGAGAGAAGAGGGGUCUGUAUGGGAUUUUAUAGGUGGGUAACAAUAGGAGAUUUGAGAGAGAGAGAGAGAGAGAGAGAGAGAGAGUGGGGUUAGAGAGAGGGAGAUAGUGAGUGAAGGAGAGAGAGGGGGCAUGCGGGUGAGGCAACCAAGAAUCAUGAUUGCAGGCAUAAUGAAGUGAAUAAGAGGAUGAUAUGGUUUCCAGACAAAAAAAUAUUAAAAUUUACAUCUAAAAUAAAAUCCUUUUUUUUUUAGACAAGAACAGGGGAACGGAUUUUAUACCCACGCUGUUGUUUGUCCAUUUUCUCACAGCUACUGACUACUGAAUCUUAGUGUGUUCUGCCAAAUUUCCAGUAUCAGUUUCCAGCAACUAUGUACAUCUUCCGUAGCACUACAAAAAACAUUUUCUUACAUUUUCCUAAGACAAAUUUCUCACUGCAAAUGACUACUGGUUUUUUAAUUUAAUAAAAAAUAAGUUAGGAUGAUUAAGAAAACAGUGGAAUAAGAAAUAGGAAAUGAAAAGAGAAAUUAGAAAUGGGGCCAGGUCAAGAUGACAUUCAACAUUCACAAUUAGAAACCAAUUGAUAUGCCAAAGUCAUUCGCAUUGACACUUUUUUAUGGAACACAAACAUAAUCAUAAGCUGGAUCUACCAUAUGUUUUUACAAUAAUUAUUAGAGUCGCAACCAAAAAUUUAAAAAAUGAGAUCUUAAUUUGCCGUUUAUAGGCCAUCUCAAGUAGCUAGCAACACCAAGCACAAACACACCAUAAUGAAAUUAUACAUACAAAGCUUCCAUUGCUCAAAAGCAUUUCUUGUAAUGUCUUAUGGCUAUUGGAUAAUAGAAAGGUGAAAACUAUAGUAUGAUAUGAAGCAUGCACCAUUUCGCUUUCAAAAUAAAUUAAAAGCAAUGUUUUAAUAAACAAAUACGUGCCCAAACAUUAUAUGCAAGUUUAUAUAAAACAAAAACAUUGUUUAUAUAAUUAAUUAAUAAACUUAAUUAGAAAAUUAUUAUUUUAAAUAUGAUCUUCAAUAGUUUUGAAUUAAAUAAUAUAUAUACCAAAGUAAGAGUAAUUUCAUAUAAGAAUGAGAAUAAUAAUCCUAAAUUAGAGAGAUAUAAUACUUGCAUCAUGCUUAUUCUCCAUGCAAUAUUUCUUGAAAGGAGGCAUCAUCAUAUUAAUGCAAAAUUUUUAAUAAUACAGUCUCAAUUAAAGUUCAAAUUUGCCGACCAUUUAUGUGUGCAUAAUCAUCAUUUUAAUUUUUCAAUUUCCCAUAAAUGCAUCAACUAUUUUCUUACAUAUAUAAUAUAAAAUUUUGAAUUUUCAUAAUCGUAAUUAACCUUUUUUUGUAUGGAUACUAAAAAGGAUAUGGGUUUUGAAAUAGCAAUGAAUCUAGCUGAAAAUACGAAGAAUUAGUGGAAAUGGAGUAAUUAGUGCUUGGUAGGCCUAUGUAGAUUACGUAAUUGACUUGUCUACUUGGCUUAUAAUUUAAGAUCACUUUGCAUACCCAGCAAGAGUAUUUGUAAUAAUUAAUAAUACAACAUGAUAAAGUCUAGGAAAUUAGUAAUGAAUGUUUGCUGUAAUAUUAAAACGUAGAGGAGAGGAGAUAUAUAGAAAUACAAAACAAAGGCGAGGAGAAAAUGAGCAGAGAAAGAAGAGUGGGAAAGGCAAUGAUGGAAAAUGGUGAGUUUAGAAUCAAAGUUAGGAGUUUUUAGGGUUGGAAAUGAUUCAGAAUGUAAGCGUCAUGAAUAAUCUUAUGGGGGUGUGGCUGGCAACCUCCAUUAUUACCACACAAUUCCCACAUCCAUCUUCAGCUGCACGCGCACCCACCAAACUCAAACCCACUAAGCCUCUUUUUCUACAAGGGUCAACCAAAUUUCCAACUACAAUACCAAAUAUUGAAUCAAAUCUUACUUAAAAAGUCUCAACCUUACUCGUCUCAUCUUCUUCCUCAACAAAAGUUCCUGCCUUUUACAUCAAAAGGUGCUACCAAAAAUCUUCUUUCUUAGGAUGAGUUUCGGAAAGAUAGCUAAAAGGGUUUCUGGAAAGAGCUAAGAGAGAAGUGAUAAGACACUAGAUAAAUAAUAACGAUCCUGUGUUUUGGACCCACUAGUCACCUUUUUAACCCUAACCCCCUUCCACCCAAAUCAUGGAGCUAGCCUUAAACCCAUGAUUGGUCCCACUAUGUGUCCCCGACAACCGCCGUGGCUGGACCCACAUAACUACACAUCAUCUAUUGUGUGCCCUAACUUCUUGGCACACAAGGGGUCCAUAGUUGAUGUAGGGUUAUAUUUGUUUUUGGGACAUGGAGUCCCCACAAAGGCGGUCCUAGGUUGGGCAGACAUUUCAAUCUUGUUGGGCAUGGAAACAAGAUGCCUUUAGCCGCCAUACAUUGCCUUGCAUGCGCACAUUUGUAACACAUGUGGGAAUUUAUUUGAUGCAGAGUAUUUAGGUAUUUUCAUGGGUAUUUUUUCUGGAGCACUAAUGAGAGCUAGCAAUAGCAUUCUCCUGUGGUGUGAGUGCUACUGUACCAUGCGUACAAAAAUUUUGACAAAAGGCCCACCACCACUGUUGUUUGGAUGUGGCCACUGUGAUAAUUUAGUGCCCAAAAAGUUAUGAGAGAUUUCAGAGACCUACCAAGCUUCACUCUCAUUCUCAUGGGAUUCCAAUAAUAAUCUCAAAGAAAUCUUUUUCUUGGGUGUUUAUUUGAGGUCAUGCCAAUAUCAAAUGGUGUCAUAUGAUAAGUCUUUGUCCUUUCGUUUGACCCUUUUUAAUUUAUUUGUCAACAGUGAGAAAACCACAGCCUCUCUGGUUUCACUCAAAUCAAGAUUCUUAACUUUAUAGAUAUAUAUAAAUCUUUGGUUACUAUUAUUAUGUACUUUUUUAGUACAAUUCAUAUCUUUUUCUUCUUGACUAGAUAUAUAUUAACCUAAGAAUUCAUAUUUAAUUAACAAAAUUACAGUCAUAAGAAAAAUUGAGUUAGAAGUGUUUCUAUUAUUAACUGGUGGAUGCAUAUAUCUUUCAUAUUUUUCCUUAUUUUCUAUAAAAAUAAAAAUAAAUAAAUCCCAAAAACUCUAUAAUUAAUUAAGCAAAUACGUAGUAGCAUUAGAAAAGGAAAGUGAUUAAAAAAAGAGAUGGGGUUCCGACAAGCAUGAUAAGAUUUAUGAGGCAAACAACUCAUGUUAGGAGUUUUAAAAAGUGGGCAUAAUCGAAGAAGGGAACCCAUGUUUGCCCCCACAAUAACAAUACUAUCCCCAAGCUCACACAAAUUCUCUCUUUCAAUGCCAUUCCCAUUCCCAUUUUUCAAGAGAUAGCCUCACCAUCAACCCACAUCAUUCCUCGUGCUUCCCUUUACAAACCAUUUUAUUUUUUUUUUACACUAACUGUUCAAAUCUGCUCAAGUGGUUCUCCAAUAAGAAGCUGUUAAGUGUGUGAUUAGGACAUCUUUAGUCACUGCUUUUGUGACACUUAGAUUCUAAUUGCCUUCUUUUUCUUUAUAAAAAUUUGAUUUUCUGGGUUCCCAAACAAUCCCUUGAGAAACCCAGAUGCUGGUUUAGUUGGCAGACAAGAAUCUAUUGGGGCAAUAAGACGAUGAAAAGAUGUGUAUACUGCCAUAAAUGUAACAUCAUCAUUGUAUUGUUGAUAUGUUAUGAGUAGAUUGUAUGCUUAACGUGACUUUAAUAAUAUUUACUUAAUUUCUAUUUUUAAUUAUUCUCUAAUUUAUAAAUAUACUAAUUCAUGAAUUAGCUUUCUGUCAGUGUAAAGAAUAAUCACUUUUUCUUCAAAUCUCUGUUUUGAGACUAACGAGGUAGGAUCCUAUGUUUCUCGUACAAAGUAAUACCAAAAUCCUUUCCAAUCAAUUUUGAUUGGAUAACUAUUUUUAUAUAUAAAUAUUUUACUUGAUUUUAAAAUUCUCAAUAAAACAAAUAUAUAUUUUAUUAUUAGACAUAAAAAUAAAUUAACACCUAAAAAGGGAAAGAGUAAGCCCAGAGAAGUUGGCCCAUGUAUAAUUGGGCUUCAUGGAUUCUUGGACUAUUGACCCGAAACUUUUAUCAUUACAGGCUCAUGGAAAGCCCAUUUAUUAAGCAUCAAACACAGUAAAGAGUCUAACCCGAUUUAAUUUAGUAGUUGGAAGCAUAUCAUUCGUCGAAUUUGAAUUAUUUAAAAAUAAUAAAUCAGUGUAAUUUAUUUAUUAAAAAAACUAGAAAUAGAUAAUAAAAAUAAGUAAAUAUGAAAUUAAUGGGGUGAAUUUAAUUUAUUGAGAAAAUUAAAUUAAUAAGGGAUAAAAAUGAUAAAAACUAGAGGGGUAAAAGAUUAGAAUUGUUGUACCUAAUGAGAGAGAAAGCUGAGUUAGUUUUAUAUUAUUUUUUAUGAUUUAGAAAGUUGGAAAAAUGUCGAAUUCAAGACUGUAUUUUUCUUUAUUUUAAAAUAAUUACUUAAAAAUAAGAAUAAUUUCUCCAUUUUGAGAUAUUUUGUUUUGAAAAAUAGAAAUAUUUGUAGUUAAUUCCCAUGAGUGUAGAAAAAAUAGCUAUAUUUUCUCCAUAAAUGGAUCUGCUAAAUUAACUCCUAAAAAAAUUCAAAGGAAAGAAAUAAAAGGAUUGUUUCCUUACCAACUUUUUAUUUCGGCAGGAGAAUGAUAAGUGCUAAUCCCACUCGCAUCCUAUCCCCGUGAGUCCAAUCACCAAUAAUAACAAAACAUUGAAUAAAAGAUUUUUUAUUCUAAUAAUUUUAGUUUUAAACUUAAUUUAGCCCCAAAAUCAAUUUUUUUUUAAAAUUUCGUGAUAAAGAUUGAAAUCAGACUCAUUUUUCAAUUGAAAUUCCUGAAUAAAAUUUAAUUUGAGUUAAUUUAGAUAAAAAUUAAAAAUAAAAUAAAAUUUUAACAGUUAAGGAGAUGAAAUUAAGCACUCGAUCAAUAAAGAUGUAAUUAUCAUCAGACGGUGUGUGUCACAUUGUAAGAGGGAGCGUGAGGACUGAGGAAAGCCAAAAUCGAAAUUUAAUAAAUAAAUAAACAAGCAAAUCCAGCGUAAAAAGAAUGUGAUGUCCUUGAAAUUAAACCUAGGAGCUGAAAUAAGCUUAAAUCAGAUAGAGAGAGUGAAGGUGAAAAUCUAAUUGGAGAUAAAAUCCCAAUUUUGAAGGAAAAACCACUCAAAAACCAAAUUAAACCCUGAAAUAGAUUUCUUCUUAAUUAAUUAUUUUGUUUGUUUGUUUGUUGUUAAUCACUCUAAUUAAGAAUAUAAUUUUUAAAAAAAUGGUCCUCUCAAAGUUCAGAGACAAUCCGACCUUCUUUCACUCCCUCUCAAUUUCCACAAAACUUAACCUUAAAUUCAUUCUCUAUUUUUUCGUACAUCUCUUUUUUUAUUUUUAUAAUUUUGUUAUACCCUUCUUUCUACCUUGGCAUGAUUCUUUAGCAUUUCCAAAAACUCCCAAAACCUUAACUAGACAGGAUGGCCUUGAUUUGGAGCUCCCCCUCUCGUCUUCUCCUCCUUGGCCUCCUGUCCCUCCUCCACCCUUUCACCAUCCCGGCCGGAAGUAUUCGUGUCGGCACGGUUGUCCGUAAACCCUCCCCGGAGAUUCCCAUUUUCCGGGAAGCCCCCUCUUUUCGUAAUGGCGAUGGUUGUGGAUUACACGAGACCGAUAUUAUUCAUGUGGCCAUGACCUUAGACGUUAAUUAUCUUCGAGGUACAAUGGCAGCGGUGCUCUCAAUGCUGCAACAUUCUACAUGUCCUGAAAAUUUGUCAUUCCAUUUCCUUUUCGUUCGUUAUCAACCUGAGCUCUUUUCCAGCAUAAAUUCUACCUUCCCUUUCUUGAACUUCAAGAUUUAUAGGUUCGACUCUAAGCGAGUUCGAGGAAAGAUUUCUAGGUCCAUUCGAAAAGCUUUGGAUCAACCUUUAAAUUAUGCGAGAAUUUAUCUUGCUGACAUAAUACCACCCCAUGUAAGAAGGGUUAUUUACUUGGAUUCUGACAUUAUCGUGGUGGAUGAUAUUGCAAAAUUAUGGGAUGUAGACAUGGAGGAUAAGGUGGUGGCUGCACCAGAAUAUUGCCAUGCAAAUUUCAGUCAGUACUUUACCGACACAUUUUGGUCGGACCCAGAAAUGGCAAAAACAUUUGAAGGAAGGAAUCCUUGUUAUUUUAACACAGGAGUGAUGGUGGUGGACGUAGAUAAAUGGAGAAAAGGAGAGUAUUCGCAAAAAGUUGAGGAAUGGAUGGCAGUACAGAAACAAAAGAGGAUAUACCAACUGGGUUCUUUGCCUCCAUUUUUGCUUGUUUUCGCCGGAAACAUUAAGGCAGUGGAUCACAGGUGGAACCAACAUGGCCUAGGUGGUGAUAACUUUCAAGGGAAAUGUAGGAGCCUUCAUCCUGGUCCAAUUAGCCUUCUCCAUUGGAGUGGCAAGGGUAAACCAUGGCUGAGGUUAGAUUCUAGAAAGCCAUGCAUUGUUGAUCAUUUGUGGGCUCCGUAUGAUCUCUACCGUUCAUCAAUAAAUUACUUGGAAGAAUAGAUGAAUAAAAAAUGAAAAAUGGAAAUGUUGAAAGAGGAAGAGAAAAGCAAGACAUCAUGUCGAUCACACUCUAAUUAGGAUCUAAAAGGAAAGAUUUUUGCUUUUUUCAUUUUUUUAUUAAAAAAAAAACAUAUUGACAAAAUUGAUGACUUGAAUAAGAUUCGAUGACAGACAAGAAAAAGCCUGAAGUAGGGCUUUUGUUCCAACUUCCAAGGAAGGAAGUGAUUAAGGUUAAGGGUGGGAGACUGGCAUCCUUUAGCUCCCCAUGGCUUGUGCCUUCAUGAAGUUGAGUUUAAAAUAUUAAAACACACACAGAGGGAAACACCAAGUUGUUGAUUACUUUUUUUUUUUUUUCAUUGCUUUUGUAUUUUUUUAGUAUNNNNNNNNNNNNNNNNNNNNNNNNNNNNNNNNNNNNNNNNNNNNNNNNNNNNNNNAAAAAAAAAAAAAAAAAAAAAAAACAAGAUAAUGCAUGUUACAUUCGUUAGCCAACAUCACUGACUUGUAGUUCGAAACAUUUUAAUGGAUAUACAGUUUACAGAAGAUCCAUAUAUAGGGUUGCCUUUAUUACAAUUCUCAUAUAGAGAGUUUUUCAUUUGAUUUACUGCUUAGGGCAUUCAUAAUAAGACAGAGAUUCAAAUAUGCAAUUCGGCGAUCAACAGCCAUGGACCCGCCACAGGUUCAUCAAUGUGUAGAAUAUCUGAUAAGAGGAACAUUUUCAGAAGAAGUUAAUCAGUUUGCCUGCAAAUAGAUAUAUUCUAGACAAUGAACCCUCAGCUAUAUGUCUUGAAAGAUAUCUGCGACAGAAGAACAAAUUAAUUGUGUCUUGUGGAAUGCAAGAAACCAACCAAAGAUAUAUAAUAAAUGGAGAAAAAGCACAGACUUUGGCAUAAUUGUAUGCCUGCCAGAAAAAUGGCUCCCCUAGAUAAACUGGAGGAAGAUUUUUACUCAUUUUCUCCAUUAAGCUUUACCAUACAGUUUGCAGCCUCUGCCUCAAUAUAUGAAGGCUUACAAUGUGACGCGUACUGGGGUCAUCAACCCAGGAGUCCAAUCCUUUAGCUCACUGAUUCACCCUUAUGCCAUACCCACGUCUUGAACCCUCACUAUAAAGACACAAACAAACCAAUAACUACAGCUGAACAGAGCAGCCUAACAAAGAUACUCCCACAAUUAAAAAAUAAAUAAAUAAAAGGUAAGAGCAUUAAUGAUACUUUCAAAGAUUAAUGUGCAUUCAACAAUUUAACGUGCAAAGCAUCUCUACAAAAUUAUACACACUAUUAAAUAACAUUAUUAACAUUUGUGCUAUGGUAUUAAUAAUUUUUAUAUUAUUAUAUAAUUUAUAAUUUGAUUAGAGUUUAAUUAUUUAUUAUUAAAGUUAUCAUAAAACAAGGAUGGGAUUGAAUUUAAAUUUAUUUAGUGAAUAAUAUAUCAAACUAAGAUGUUUUUCAUGCUUUUAAUUUUAUUAGCAAAAUAUAAAUAUAAUGGGUUAUUGCAACCUUUUAUUAUUGUUUAUUUCUUUAUCAUAUAAUUUAAAUAUUAAAAGAUAUAAUUUUAUCAAUAUUAACAAAAGCAGAAUGGAAUUAGUGAGCGAGCGUCACAGGCAACCUACAAGAAGAAAAAGGCAAAAAGGAGAGAGAGAGAGAGAGGUUGGAGGUUUGCUUUUGCAGAUUCUGUCGACACAAUCUUCUUCAUCACCAAAAAUUAGUGAAACAGAGGGAGGGAAACUCUAACCAAAUUAAAAUUUGAUCGAUCGACGAUCAUCAUCGCAUCAUGUCGUUUUCCUUCUUCAAGCCGUCUCGGCCUAAAACGCCGCAAGAGGUGGUCAAAGCAGUGAAAGAUAGCCUCAUGGCUCUUGAUACCAAAACUGUUGUUGAAGUUAAAGCUCUCGAGAAGGUCAUUCUCUUUUUUAUGUUAAAUUACCUUCGCAUUUUUUUAAUAUAUAUAUUUUGUUUCCUUGGAAUUAAUUCGUUUACUGCUAAUGAAUUAUGCUUUUACAACAGUUUUUAAUGAUUGUAAUUUCUAUGCGUUGCUGAUUAGUUGGCUGAUUGGGUCAAUCCUGAAAUAAUCCUCUUUACUUAUUUACUGUUGCCUAUACAAUGAAAUGCAAGGAUUUUAAGAACAUAGAAAAUAGCCAUUGCAGUGAUAAUACCGAUAUGGAAAUCUAGGGUGCUCAUUGCUUGGUUGCAGUAAUUCUGGGAUUUGAGUAUUUGAAACCUCAUAUUUUCGUAUCUCAGUGACUAGAUGGGUAGUUUCCAUGAAAUGGGUGCUCUCGAGCUUCAAACUUGCGAUCUCUUGGCUGCAGGCGCAGCCUUUGUACUAGACACUGGUCCUUUGGGUCGUCAAGUGGGCAGAAGGAGCUUUAAAUGUUGGAGAGAGCAAUGCCCAAGGAGGGUAUCUAUGGUCACAGAGAUCCAUGUUGCUUCUCAUAUUUAGAUACAAUCAGAAUCCAAUUUCCAUUAAGAUUAUUUUAAUGGAGGGAAGCAAGAGAACGAUUUUCUUUUUCAAUUAUGCUUGCCAUUUCCUUAAUCUUUAUAUUUGACUUUUUCCCUCUCAUUUUCGGAUAGGCAAUGGAAGAAGUUGAGAAAAAUCUUGUGGCAGUGAGAUGCAUGCUAUGUGGAGAUGGAGAGGUUGAACCAAAUAUAGAUCAAGUUUCACAACUGGUGCUUGAAGUUUGUAAAGAGGAUGUUCUCUCUCUUGUGAUUCACAAACUCCCUAAUUUGGGAUGGGAAGUGAGUUUGAACUGUUCUUAGCACUCUGACAAGCAUUCCAAGUCUAUUUGCAUGCAUUGAUCUGAUAUGUAUAUAUUUUUAACUCAGGCGAGAAAGGAUCUAGUCCAUUGUUGGUCCAUGUUGUUGAAGCAACAGGUUGAUUCCAAAUAUUGCUCUGUAGAAUACAUAGAGAACAAUUUUGAAUUACUAGACUUUCUUGUCGUUUGGUAAGAUACAUUAUUUUUCGCUCUCUGUUUCUCUUGUUAAUAUUAUCAGCAUUUUCUAAAGACUUUUGGAUGCAUGUUGUGUGUGCAUGUGUUCUGUAUCUUUUUUUUUUUUUUGGCGGAGUAUCCCUUUCUACUUGUGUUUUUGAUCCAGCAUGAGUAUUGCAUAUUGCAUUUGAAAUAUAUCUAGCUCAGAAGAAUAUCAAGUUAUGUUUGGAAGGAUUCAGACAAUAUUUUGAACAUAUCACAAAUUGGAACUUGAAUUUUUUUAUUUUUUUUUUGGCAAAAAGUUGAAGGGGGGGACAUGUCAAUUUGCACACCAAGGACACUUCAGGAUUUUUUUUAUUUUUAAAGGCAACACGGUUCUGGUAUGACUGGUGGAGCUAAAAUCUUAAACGAAGACAAUAAAAGUUGUAGGUGUUGUAUUAGAUUGACUCUAAUUAAGUGCAAAGGACCAUUAUUAGCUAUAAGAAAUGUCCAUUAAUGUUGAGGAUGCAGUUUUCUAUUUGACCAUUUUCUUUUUAGUUAAAGUCAUGUGACUUGGACUUGGGGAUUAUUAAUGGAUUGUGUAUAUGUGUAAGACUCGGAGUCAACUUAUUUGUGAAAUUUUAAGAUACUUUCCCACUGAUUUGAAUUGCAAAAGUAUCAGUAUCUAUGCCCAAAUGUCCUUACAUGACAGGUGUAUUUUGUUAAAGUGCUGAAGUAGCUAUGCUUCUAACUUCUAAGUAACUUCAUGAAUCCAGUAAUUGCAUUAUGUCUAAAAGUUGUAUGAAGUGAAAAAAAAAAGGUUGAAUUCUUCAGUUGUUUCAUUGCCUUCUGGUCAUGGAAUGCCAUAGUGUUAUUGUAUGGGACUCACUAUUGCCUUUUGGAAGCAGCUAUGAUAACAAGGAAAUUGCCUUGAACUGUGGACUUAUGUUAAGGGAGUGCAUCAAAUUUCCUACCCUUGCAAAGUAAGACAUCAAGCUUUUCUUCAAUUACUGGUUGUUGCAAGUCCUUAAUGACAGUGCCAAAGUUGAUGGCACGGUGUAAAAGAAACUUUGCUUAUAUUUGAUUUAGGCAAUCAAACUUCAAGCUUUCACACUGUUAAUUUUUGUAGUGAUUUUUCAGAUACAUUUUAGAGUCCGCCAGCUUUGAAUUGUUCUUCAAAUUUGUGGAAUUGCCAAACUUUGAUGUUGCUUCUGAUGCUUUCUCUACUUUCAAGGUUAGAGUUAUGAGUUUGUAAGUUCUAGUUUCUUUAUGUUAUACCUGUUAAUUUUUUAUGCCUCCAGUUAUGCAUACUUUACAUGGUUGUAAAUAAAUGCUUACCAGGAUUUGCUUACUAAACAUGGCACUGUGGUUGCUGAAUAUCUCACUGCACACUAUGACGAGGUACUCUUCCCUCUUCUUGUUCUCAUGGUAUGAUUCUGGAUGGAUCUAGACAGAUUCAGAUAUUUCUUAAGAAUCUGUUGAUCUAUCUGUGUCAGCUACUUGGUAUCUAACAAAAGAAUCUGCUUUGUCAAGAAUCUAAUUAUGUGUGCGAGUAACAAAUUAGUGAAAUGAGGAGGAUGAUUUAUCUGAACUGCUGAUGCUGUUUAGAAAACAAUGUCUCUCGCUGAUUUUAUGCGCCUGUAUGGUGGGGACUGCUAAGGCUACUCUUUUCAAUUAUCUUGGCAUAUUCAUCUUAUUCUCAUUCUGUUGCCUGUGUAAGAUUGCUACUAUGAUAACUGGCUGUUUUUCCAGUUCUUUGAUCAUUAUGAAAAACUGUUGACAUCUCCUAAUUACGUUACAAGAAGGCAGUCCUUGAAGGUUAGUUUCAACUACAAGUUUUCAAAUCCUACUCUUCUGUUGUGUUGAUCUAUAAGUUAACAAGAGUAUGUUCAUGGAUUUAGCUUCUCUCAGAAUUCCUUUUGGAGGCUCCAAACUCCCAUAUAAUGAAGCGCUAUGUUUUAGAAGUUCGGUACUUAAAAAUCAUGAUGACAUUGCUGAAGGUAUCAAAAAUUUAACUUUCACUCUUUUUCUUGUUAUCUUAAUUUUGGAUUUGUGUUGUUUGACCAAUUGGGUAUGUUGUACAUGAAUUAGAUGGUUGUUCUGAAGCCAUAGUACUGUGUAGCCAACAACUACUAAAGUUGGAAUCCUGACUGAAUUCAGACAAGCCCAAUAGACAUGAAAUUAAAGACCUAAAAGCAUUGAACAAGAAGAGGUCUCUUCUAUUCUAAUGUUUUGAAGUGUUGGAUAUUGAGAUUGGGUAGUUGGGAACCCCCUUAAAUCAUGUAAAAAAAUUACAUGAGACUGAAAUCACACCUGGAUAUAUAUUUUGAGUAAUAUGAUAAUUUAUUAUCCGUUAGUCUCCCAAAGUCAGUUUUAUUUGUCUUAAUUCUGUUUUACAAACAGUUGUAGUUCUAACUUCUAUGCAAUCCCUCGAAAAUAAAGAAACUAAACAAUUCCAUGGGAGUUGGCACCCGAUCGUAUCUAUCUGCUGGUUUUCCUGUUUGUUGUGGUAGCCAAACUUUCAAGCUUCACUCCCCUUUUGUGUUGCAUGCAGCCACAAUAAUAUUUGAAUAGCAUUCUGCAUAGGGUUAGGAAGUUGUUACGAUUUUGAUGGUAAACAAGCUUGAGUGCUGCUAAAUGAUCCAAGUAUGAUGCUACACGCCUAUACCUAUUCUCAGGACACUGAAUCAUGGGUUUUUUUACUACUUCCAGUGGGAUGGACCAAUGAGUCCAGAGAGCUAUCUCUUUUUUGGGAAAAUAGACAAAUUUUCAAUUCUUGGCUGUCCUUGGGCUAGCAGAAACUCCCUCUGUGUGCUUUUUCUAUUUAUCCGAUAUGCAAUGGGGCCAUCAGAUUUCUUGCUUUUUACCUGUCUAUCUGCCAAGGUAGUAAAAUUGUCUCAGUACUUGGUGUGUUGCAAAGGGGGCAUUUGUUAGUUCCAUGAACUUGUGGUUAUCUUGAGCUAUAAUAGAUUGUUUUUCCUUUUUGACUAUUUUUGGAUAAUAUAUAAUAGUUGAUCUGUAGUGUAACCAUUUUUAUCUACUUUAUUUUUGGGUGUGAGCAGGACUCGAGCAAAAAUAUUCAGAUCUCGGCUUUCCACAUUUUCAAGGUUCUGCAUUCUUAUUUUGUCAUUGCAUCAUCUGUGUCAUUUUCAAGAGCUCAAGGAAAAAUAUUCAGAUAUUGAGCUAUCUAAUUUGCAUCAACUAUACUGUUUCCACAUAAUUUUUUUACUUCUACAAUUCAGUCCCAAGAUCUCCCACUUUGGUGCAAUGCAAUUGGAACUAGAGCCUUUCUUUUAUGGAGAUAAUAUAUUAUUGGCUACACUAUGGAGGGGAGGCUAUUGUUUGUACACAAAGUCUAGCAUAUGGAAAUUUUUUCUUCCAUUUAGAUGGUUGGUAAUUUAGUAGGGAUCAUAGAUUUAUUGACGCCUGAAUAAAAGGGAGAGUUUCAAAUUUUCUUUUUGGGGAUUCUACUGCAUUUUAAUGUGCAAGUUGAUUUUCUUGUAUUUAUUUUCAUAUAUUAUUGGCAUGGUCUCUCUCUCUCCCCCCCCUUCUUGACAAGAAGAAGAAGAAGAAGAAGAAGAAAAGACAGUUAUUCUGGUAUACUUAGGCAGUAUGGACACCACUGAACUAAAAAUCCUCUAUUUCCAGCUUGGAUAAUGAAAUAAGGGUUUGCAGCGGAACUUCAUUCAUUGUUCUCAUUCAGAGUUUUGAAUCCCUUGUUCUUCAUGCAGGUUUUUGUUGCUAAUCCCAACAAGCCACGUGAAGUAAAAGUAAUUUUGGCAAAAAACAAUGAAAAAUUGGUGGAACUACUCGAUAAUCUCACUGUUGGAAAAGGUAACUAGAAAUAUGAUAUUCUUCUGCUACACUGGAACCAUAUAUGUGCAAGUGGCAUGUGAAGUUUUUAAAGAAUCAUUAUGUGGAAAACGUUGUAAUUUCACCUGUUUUCAUCAUCUCCUUUCAGGUGCUGAGGAUGAGCAAUUUGAAGAGGAAAAGGAAUUGAUAAUCAAGGAAAUUAAGAGACUGUCAUGCCUAGCCAAUUUUGGAUAGUUAGGUCCUUAUCUUAGCAGCGGUUUUUCCCCUUUUACUGAGAUCUCAUCUUGUGGAUCAUGCUAAUUCUACGUGAUAACCUGCAAUUGCUAUGCGAGGAGUUUCGAGCGCUAGCCUGAGAGAUAUGUAAUUGUUAUUAUAUAUCUAUGUCUAUAUAUAUAUAUAUAUAUAUAUAUUGCUUCAGAAGACAUACUGAUUAGAUAUUGAUCUUUGGUCUAAGAAAACGCAUAAAAUUUGUUGGUUUUUGGUGGUGAAAGGCAUUGUAUUUUGUGGAGUUUGUUGUCUUGCUUUUGGUCUUGUUUGUGCAACACACGGUGGAUUCAAGGCAUGGUUUUCAUGUAAGAAAGAUUAGAUACACUUAUAUGGUUCAAGACUGGUGUUUGUAGAAUUGAAAAUGCUUACGAUACAUGAAAUAUAAUUGCAACGAUUUGUUGGAUUCAGUCUAUGAUUGUUUCUUAUGGAAAAAAUUUCAGCUACCCAUUGGUUACACAAAUUUAGUUUAAGGAAACUGAAAGAUUGCUACGAGUAGGGCUUCAGCUUGAUAUCUGAUAGGAUUGGUGAUAGCAAAAUGGAUCUAUUAGUGCCGGGUACUGGAUUAGAACCUGAUCCUGCAAUGAUUCUUGUUUAAGUUUGUUCUGUGCUGGUGCUGGUCUGGGUAUUCUUUGGUUAUUGAGAAAAUGUGCGCCGAGCAUGGCGAGUCAGAGAGAGUCAUGGGAAUAAGGUGGCUUUACAGUUUCAAUUCACUUUGAUUCGGUCAAAUUUUGAUUAAUUUAAUGGUCAAGAUUUUAUUUUUUUAUUGAAAAAUUUCCGAUUGCGGUCUAAAAUUGAAUCAAAUGGUUUUAGUGUGAUUUAAUUACGACCGUUCAAAUAGGUUAUCAAUUUUAAGUAAACUACAAUUUUUAUUAACCAAUUUUAUUUAUUUAUGUUAUCAAUUCUGAAAUAAUUUAUAUUAAAAAAUAAAAAAUUCUUGCAUAAUUAACCUGAAACUCUAUUCAAACCGAUAUAAUUGAUUUCAAGUUUUAUGAAAUAAAAAUUUUAGAUUAACGUAAAAGACAAUAUAAAAGAAAAUUUUGUUAAAAAAUUUUCAAUUAAUAAUAUGUAUUUUUCCUAUUCAAGAAAAGUAUAAGAAUUAAAAAAAUAAUAAUAAAAUGUUAACCUGAAACGACUGUUUUUUCUUUUUUUUGAAGGAAAAAAAAAAUUUAAUUUACGAGCCAACUCUGUCUCCUUCUCCUUUGCCAAAUCCAAAACCUGUACAGGUUAGCUAGGAUUUUCACUGAAAAGGCUGUAUAUAUGAGCAACUACCAAAUCCUUUGAUCAGUGAGCAAGCCAUCAAAGAAAUUGAUAUAUUCAUCAAGUCUGUAUUUUGUAAAAUUUUUCUCCGCGAAUCGGUGGAGAGAGUGCUGCAAUCUUCAUGGCAAGGAGAUCAAAGCGCGCUGUUAAGAAGCCAAUACGGGUGGAGAAGCUCGAAACCGCCUUCACUUUCCCUUUCUGUUUCUGGCAAGCAACCCAACGCUGUGGAGUGCAUCAUCGACAGGAAGUUACGAUUUGGUGAAGCCGGAUGCAGUGCAUGCAAAGCAAGCUACUCGACCUCCAUCAACCCUUUGACGGAGCCAAUCGACAUAUACAGCGAAUGGAUCGAUGAAUGUGUUAAGCUUAACGAAAGCUGAAGAUGUUUCUUUGUCUUCUAAAACUCUUUAAUGGCUUGCAUGCUAUCCUCUUCUUCUCUUCUUUCUCUUCUUCCUCUUCUUCUUUUUGUGUGUAGUAGGAUUAUGUUGACGUAGGUUAAUCUUAGGGAUGUUUAAUUCUAAGCUUUGCGUGGAAAUUAAAUUUUUGUUCUGUUUAUGGAUAAUUUAGGGUUUAUAUUAAUGUAUAUUUGAUGAUUCUUUGACUUUGAAUCAUCAAAUUAUUCUUGUAAUUAAUAAAAUUUGAUUUUUUAGUGUCACUUAAAUAUAUACGAAAAAUUAAUAUUUUUUGAAAAAAUAACUUACUAUUUGGUACAGAUGAAAAAUAAAAUUUAUUUAAGACGGGUUUUUGUUUUCAUUCACAGGUAAUAAUAAUACUCUUGUUUUCUAUUAUAUUAUAAUAGAGCAAUGCUUUGUUUGAGUUUUGUUCAUUUGUUUUUUUUUUUUUUUUAAUUUGUAAAAAAAAAAAAAAGUUGAAGUCUUAAAAUAAAAAUUAAUUCUUGAUUUUAGUUUCACAGUCAAAAGUAUAAACGGCACGUCUUGGUACAGGACACCACGAGUUAAAAUUUAAAUUUUUUUUUUUAGAAAAGGAAACUUGCAGAAAACUGAUGGCUUUACGCGCCACCUUCAUCUCCUUCUCCAUCUCCAAAUCCAAAUUUAAAACCUGUUCAGGUUAGGAUUUGCACUAAAAAAGAGCUAUAUAUAUAUACACUCUAAACACUAAAUCGUUAUCAGUCAGCAAGGCAUCAAGAAAGUGAUAUAUUCAUAAAGUCAGUCUUUUGUAAAUUUUUUCCCUGUGAAUCGGUUGAGAAAGCUGUAAUCGCCAUGGGCAAGGGGAUCAAAGCGCAUUGUUAAGAAGCCAGUGCGGGUAGAGAAGCUCGAAACCGCCUUCACAUGCCCUUUAUGCGACCAUCCAACGCUGAGGGUGCAUAAUCGACAGGAAUCUAAGGGUGGGUGAAGCCAGAUGCAGUCCAUGCAAAGCAAGCUACUUGACAUCCAUCAACCCUUUAACGGAGCCAAUCGAUAUAUAUACAGCGAGUGGAUCAAUGAAUGUGUUAAGGUAAAUGAAAGAUGAAGAUAUUUCUUGGACUCUUACAACUCUUUAACGGUUUGCCGUAGACCGUAGCUACUACCACUAUUUUCUUUUUCUUUGUCUCCUUUUUGCGAGUAUAAUAGAUUAGAUCAAUGUAAGUUAAUCAUAGGCACGUUUAAAUUCUAAACUUUAAAUGGAGAACCAUUUUAGUAAGAAGUAAACUUGAUCUUCCAACAAUGAUGAACAGCCCCAUGAAUUACGUAGCUAAGCUUUGUGCGGAAAUUAAGUUGUGUAUCGUUUAUGGAUCAUUUAGGGCUUAAAGUAUAUUUUAUUUUCAAUAAUGCUUACUUCAACAUCUUCAAAGGGCUCUCCCUUCCUCUGGUUGGAUAACCCCAAAUAGGUUUUGACAUUCAUAGGCGUGGGUCGUCAUACACAUAUUUGUCGUUUUCUUUUCGUUUGAUCCUUUAUCCCUUCUUUUAAAUGAAUGUCUCAUUCAGCUAUAUUGGAGUUGUCGUCAACCUAAUAUUUUGUAAAGUCUAUAUUCGGCUGGACAUUGAGCGACGGGACCAGACCUCACCUUUCGUUUUGUUUUAAAAUCAACUAACUUCAAUUGUAUUAAGGGAAACAAAAAACCUCAAACUCAAUCCUUAUGGAUGACUUUGUCUAACUUCUAAUCUGCUAUGAAGGAACAAGGUUGACAUGAUUUCUAAAACCAGAAGAAAUGUAGGACGUAACAAUUGAAAUUCGCAUUCCAUUUAUAUUAGUAAUAAGGCUUGUGAGCGAUCCUUAGAAACAAAAUGGGAAAGCAAUUCCCUAAGCCAAAAAGACUUGCAGCCAUCCCUCACCCCAAGAAACAGAAAAUGAAGAUCAACAUCCAAUUAUUCAAUCCAUUUCACCGUGUUGGGGUAUAUGGUAUAUCAUACAAAAGAAACAGAAGAAAAGGAAAUGCAAAACAAGCACAUAAAAAACCAUAAAUGGAAAACACUUCCCACAACAGAUCUACCUACUAUCGCAGAUGUGAUUAAGGUAAAUGCAGGUCUUGUCACUAGUGAAGCACUUUCAACACAAAUACCAAUUAUCCACAAUCUUAACUGGAUUUAAGUUUAUACGAAGAUACAGUUUGCCUGUCAACCCAGGCUGGUAAGAGUAUCGCUAUACAAACUAAUUGUUUCUUUGACUCAGAACCCGCAAAAUGGAAAGGAACAGAUUAAGGAUGUCCAGGUAGAGAGCAGCAGAGGCCAAAAUAUAUUCAUCAUACGAGUAGCGCUUGAUCAGGUUGUCAGUGUCAUAAAUAAUGUAUCCACAGAAAACCAGAGCGCUAAUUCCACCAUAGAUAGCUGUAGAUGUUGAGCCAAGAGGGAAGAACAUCUACAAAAUAAAACAGGGAGAACAUUUUCUCAAUAUUUGUUAAACAACUAAUAUAUUAAUGGCUGCAUGGCUUCAAUAAACGAAGACAAAUGAGACAUCUAACCUGGAUAAAACUGGUCAGGAUGAGUAUGAUAAGGCUGGUGAAUAAAAUAGGUCCUAAAAAGCUGAAGUCUUGACCCCUCUUAGAAGCCCAGAAAGUGUAUCCAGUUAAAGAGCAAACCACAGCUGAGGUUAGAAUUAGUGCUUCAAGCACAAUUUUCCCUGAAACAAAGCAGCAGAAGAACAAUCAGAUCAUAAUAGUAGAAGAUUUCUACGUUCUCAGAUUCGAUUAGAAAAUGAAUUGUAAAACCAUCCAUGGAGCCUUUAAACUACAAAACAUGACAGAACUUCUAAACAGCGGAGAAAAGAGAUACUGACCAUCUGUAUUAGCACAGCUUACUCCAACCAAAAGGCUUAGCGACACAGUGAAGAGACCAAGGACAAUCAGGUUGACUGGGUGCUUCUGGUGAUAAACGUGCAAGGGCCACAACACUGCAAUUUUGAGUUUGUUGUUGAGAGAAAGCACAAUGAAUUUCAGUAAAAAAAUAAUCAAGAGGCAAGAGUCAACCUAUCUCAUUUCAUCAUCUCUCUGCCAUCUUCGCCAAUAAAAUUAUAUAAGAAAGUUAUUGAAUAGACAGAAUUCAAUUUUCCAACAAUAAAUAAACAAAUAAAUUGAGAAAAUCCAUUCACUCUAGCGGCAGAACACAUAAUAAAAUUCAAUUCGAAAGACAAAAAUGUGCAAGGGAAAAUAUGAGAUCUGAAUUAUAAACGUACGGAUGAAAGGAACGAUGCAGAGGAGCAGAAGGAGGCCGGGACUGUCACCAAGGAGAGCGUUGACCGGAGUGUAGAGGACGGUGAAGGCGGAGACGAUGGUGGUGAGCACCAGCUGGACGGCGAGAAUACCGUAGACCUUGCGGAUCAAGCCCCAUCGAAGCUGGUUCUCCCCCAGACUCAAACCAGGGUACAACGUCUCUCCAUUGCCAGCCUCAAGAUCAACAUCUUUCCUAUCCUUGGUGCUCAGGCUCGAGAAUCCGUACAUCUCUUCCUCUGACUUUUUUUGUCUACCUUGAUUUUUCAGGGAAAGAGAUGAGAUAUAGAAAAUAGAAUUAGAAUGCCUUUGUUUAUACUUCAGACGUGGGUGGGGCCGGUAGGCGGACGAGGACUUCCAAUGACAGCUUAACGUGACAAGUUGGUGCGGUUAAAACUGUGACCGACAAAUGGGUAAUGAAGAGCGAUAUUUCCAUUUUCCAAUUUUUUAAAUAUAAAAUAGGAGCGACUAAUCAGUAAUCAUUAUCUCGUAAUUUAUCAUUUGUGGUAUUUGAAUGGGAAAAGCACCAAGUAAGUUGGACUUAUUUAAUUUAUAAUUUCUUCUACUUUUUUUUCUUCAAUAUAUAUAUUUUUUAUUUUCAUAUUUAAUAAAAUUUAAUAUAUAUAUAUAUAUAUAUAUAUAUAUUUAAUUUGUGUAAAAAUUUCUAAACGACACAUAUAAAAGAAAUUAAAGAGGAGAGACGGGCGUGUAAUAAACUCAUAAUUGAGGAACAAACUGUGGAAAUUACCCCAGUUGGUGGUGGGAGCAUCAGCAGAGAAAAAAGGGCAAAAAAAAAAAAAAAAUAAGUUGCCACCAUUUCUCAAUGCUGGGGAAAGCUGCCAACCUCCUCCUCCUCCUCCGUGGGCUUUCUAAAUCGCCUGAGAUUGAUCAGCAAUUCCCCAUAUACAAAAGUGCUCUCCUCCACUUUCCCCUAAUUUCGCUGCCUUUAAUUCCCUCCCGAAAGAAGUAAAAUGAAAAUUGCUUAUUAACUUUUUAAUUACCAUCUAUAAUCAUAAUCAAAUCGCACGCNNNNN
RNAcentral lists this long non-coding RNA (45204 nucleotides) under Manihot esculenta (cassava). RNAcentral's name for it is "long non-coding RNA (MESC_LNC008825)". The record is from RNAcentral. Lineage: Eukaryota; Viridiplantae; Streptophyta; Magnoliopsida; Malpighiales; Euphorbiaceae.